This 66785-nucleotide long non-coding RNA is filed under the name Capsicum annuum. RNAcentral's name for it is "long non-coding RNA (CANN_LNC020553)". Lineage: Eukaryota; Viridiplantae; Streptophyta; Magnoliopsida; Solanales; Solanaceae. The record is from RNAcentral.
AAAACAUUUCCACAAACUUAAAAAUCUCUCUCCCAAAGUUGGGCAGCCGCUCCCUUUCCAACUAGGGUUCUUCUUAAGGUUUCUUCGAGUUUAUGAGUAUAUCAAAGAAUUCUUCAAGGGGAAUGAACUGUAGAGAGUCAUAUGUGUUGGCAGCCAAGGUGCCACCACUCCCUUCUUCCAAAGAUUAACGUAAGAAUUUCAUGUUAUAAGCUUGGGUUCUCUUCCCCAUUUUCGUGUGAUGCUUAUGUUGAUUGUUGAUAAUUAUUCAAAUAGUUCAAGGGCAAACUUGACCUAUUCUUCCUUGUUUUAGACAACUGUUUGUAGGAAGCAUAUUUUUUAGCUAUUUGGCAAAUUGGAGAGCAAUUUUUAGCCAAAAGCAUAAUAGUGAAGGCCUUUUUGAGCUAAAAUAUAAUGGGGUCAGGUUGACCUAAUUUCGAAUAGUCUAUAGGUAUUUUGACUCGUCUGCCUAAAAGUUGUGUGUGCAUGUCUUCUGAUUUGGAAAUUGAGAUAUCAAAAGACUUUCACAUCGAGUGUGUAAGAGUCGUUGAUAGAAAUUUUCAAAUAGAACAGAACAAGCAAAACAAGAAGCUCAAAAUGUUAAAAAGAUCAAUAUGGGUUUGAUGAAUCACAAACAAGAAACAACAGUUCACUAUGACGGCUAGUCAUUCAAUACCAAAGAGAGACUGUUUCUGAAAGACCCGCAGCUCAAGUAACGCACACAUAGCAGUUUUAAAAAGAAAAGAAAAUACAAAAGCAAAGCGGACAUAGCAAAUAAUAGAUAACUCAUUGCAUAGCAUUCAGGAAAAAAGAACAGUAACAACAGCAAAAUAAUGUGAUAGUCUAAGCAAAGGAACAACAGGCAGUAACAGAAAUCAGCAGACUGGGUUAUAGCUUUAACAAGACAAAAUAGUAGAUUUCUUUUUAAUAAGAAAAUUGAAUCACACCACGUACACCACUAUAUCUGAUGUAGGAUGUAUAUCACAGUAUCUGCCUAUAUAAACCCUAAUAUCUUCAUCAAAUUUAAUCUAGAUCACUGGCAAUAUCAUAAGAGGCGACCAUUAUGGAUUGUGAAUGUAACUUCUACCGGCAUGUGGUAGCAUAAAUCCAUUAGUCCAUAGUUCUCACAAUUAAGACUAGUCACUCACUGUUAUGCUUUGAUAACAGAGUUGCACCUUGGUUCCAUUCCUAGUUUAGAGAAUUAUUGGAAUUCAUUUUUGCCCAUCCAACAGGAUCCAUCCUUACCGAAAGUUUAAUCAGAAAACUUUUUUCUUGAACUUGGCAAGUUUAAUCAGAAAACUUACUGAAUUCUUUUUCGCUCGUCUAAGAGGAUUUCAUUGUUAUAACAAAACUAUGUUUUUGCUCAUCUGAUAGAAUUUCCUUUGAAAGUUUCAAGUCCAUGUUGUCAAUAGGGAAUAUAAAAAGCCUUUACAAGUUAAAACUUUGGACAGGUAUCACAUCCUACUUAUAACAGAGCAUAAUUUUAGUUUUAAGAAGAUGUCUAACAAUGAUCUUUACCUGCUUACACAUGUAUUGCGUUAUGCCACUAAAGCAAGUUGAGAAAGCAAAGAGAAUUUCUCACUUACUCGAUCUGCCGCUGCUUGGAGAGUGAUAUGAUCUCCCCAUUCCCCCAACCUGGCUUGAACAAGAAAUACCUAGUUAAUGGUCAUGUCAGGUCUUCUUCAUGUAAGUCUAUAGAUCGAAACCAGAUUUCACCUCUUCAUCUUCUUCAGGUAGCUUUUGUAUUUCAUGGGAACAUAACUUUCAUAAAACUUUCUGAAAUGCUUAAGCUGAAACAAGUUAGAAACCAGAAUAAGAACAACAACGACAUACCCAGUGUAAUCCCACAAGUGGGUUCUGGGGAAGGUGGUAUGUAUGAGACCUUACCCUACCUUGUGAAGGUAGAGAGGCAGAAACCAGGAUAAGCACAUAUAAAUUAUAUAGAUAUAGCGCUUAAAUGUGAUUUGGAAUCACAAAUGAUCAUAUCGAUGAGGCACCAUUUCAAGCCAUUAGGUCAGCCUCAUAAACGUCCUAAAAAAUAUACUGAAUUAUAAUGAAAAAAAAAGGUUUUUCAGUAUCAACUUUGUGAAUAAGUAGCCAUCCUUCGAAAGAGGAACGCAAGGAAAACUCAAAGAGAAAAGAAAACCCCAUACUAACCAUGAAAUACUGUCAAAAAUAAUUUUUUUAAAAAGAAAAAAAAACAGAAAUAUUGUCAAAUAUGAUUGCUCUAACACUAAUUGACUUAACAACUUGUAAGUCACUGGACAUUAUCCAAUCCAAUGCACAAUAGUUUGAUCUAAUAGUAGCACAGAUUUUCAUGUAUAAAAUAAAAUAUUCAUGUGUUAUACUCUAAAGGAUGAAAAGUUGAUUGUUAAACUAGAAAGAAUGUCGAAACCAAACAGGUAAGUGCACAGCAGUAAGACAACAAUAACAAAGUAGUAGCUAAAUCUGGAUUUAAUAGGGUUGACAUUGUUCCUAUUCCCAGAUUUUACUUUGGCAUCGUUCCUAUUCCCAAAUUUUACUUUGGCAAAGGUUGAUAUCCUAUCUUUUGGGAUCGAAAUGAUCUAUAAGUUUAAGCUUAGAAGAAUACCUAGUACCUUUAUUUAUGUAUUUUCAAUAUUUAUUUAUAAGAACAAGGGGGACAUUCAGAGUUGCAACAACUAUAGGGGUAUCAAGUUGUUGAGUCAGACUAUGAAGGUUUGGGAAAGGGCGGUAGAGUUGAGGUUGAGGAGGAUCGUGACUAUUUCUGAGAAUCAGUUCGGUUCCAUGCCAGGUCGCUCGACUACUGAGUCAUCACCUCAUGAGGAGAUUAGUAGGAGCAGUUUAGGGAGAGGAAGAAGGACUUGCACAUGGUGUUCAUUAAUCUUGAGAAUGUAUGACAAAGGAGAUUCUGUGGAGGUGCUUGGAGACUAGAGGGGUGCCUGUGGCGUACACUAGGUCGAUUCAGGACAUGCACGUCGGCGUGAAAACUCGUGUGCGGAUGGUUGGAAGAGCUUAGGAGCAUUUUUCUGUUUUGAAUAGGUUGCACAAGGGAUCAACUCUUAGACCGUUUUUGUUUGCCUAGGCGAUGGAUGUUUAGACGUGGCAUAUUCAAGGAGAGGUGCUUUGGUGUAUGCUAUUUGUUGAUGAUGUUGCAUUAAUUGACAAGACUCGGGGAGGAGUUAAUGAUAAGUUAGAGAUUUGGAGACAGACCCUUGAGUCUAAAGAAAUUAGGUUCAGCGGGACUGAGAUGGAGUACUUGGAAUGUAAGUUUAGUGAUUUGUCGCAUGAAGCUGGAUUCACAGGCCAUUCAGAAGAGGUAGAGUUUCAAGUAUCUUGGGUUUAUGAUUCAAGAAAAUGGUGAGACUGACGAGGAUGUCACGCACCGUAUUGGUGCAGGGUGGUUGAAAUGGAGGCUCACUUAAGGAGUCUGUCUUAUGUGAUAAGAAGAUGUCUCCUAAGCUUAAAGGUAAGUUCUACAAAGUGGCAGUCCGACCGGUUACAUUGUAUGGAGCGGAGGGUUGGCUAGUUAAGCACUCCCACAUCCAAAAGUUAAAGGUGGCGGAGGAUGUUGCGAUGGAUGUGUGGACUUAUCAGGAGGGAUAGGGUUAAAAUUGAGAAUGUUCGGGAGAAGGUAGGAGUGGCUUUCGUGGAGGACAAGAUGCGGGAAGUAAGGUUGCGAUAGUUCGCACAUGUGAUGAGAAGGGGCACGGAUGUUCCAGUAUGGAGGUGUGAGAGGCUGGUUAUGGAUGGUUUUAGGCGGGGUAGAGGUAGGCCGAAGAAAUAUUGGAGAGAGGUGAUUAGGCAUGACAUGGAGCAGUUACAGCUUACGGAGGGCAUGACCCUUGAUAUGAAGGAGUGAAGGACACGGAGGGUAGAGGGUUAAAAGGUGGGAACANNNNNNNNNNNAAAGAGUGCUUUGUUUGUAUCAUGUACCUAUAUUUUCUUGUAGUCUCUUGUUCGUGGUGUUUUGGUGAUGCCUAUGAUUUUUGUAUAGCUAGUUUAUAGUAUAUAGGAAGGUAUGGAGGACGCGGAUUAGGGUAGAGGGCUAGGGUGUGGGAGUGUGUCGGUAAAUAGAAGGAAGCGUUCUUUUGUGUCUGCAGUUUUUAUUCGUGGUGUUGUGUGAUGUCUAUGAUUUCGGUUAGAUAGUUUUUAUUUUUAUCUUGUGGUUGUAGUAUUAUCUUGCUGCUAGCGGUGUUAGUUUAUUUUGCACUUAGCUUUUGUGUUUGUUAUACUGUUAUCGGUUCUAAGCCGGGGGUCUAUCGGAAACAGCCUCUCUACUUCACCUGAGGUAGUGGUAUGGUCUGCGUACGCUCUACCUUCCCCAGAACCCACUAUGUGGGAAUAAACUGGGUAUGUUGUUGUUGUUGUUGUAGUUUAUAGUAUUACCUUGUGGGUGUCUUGUUUCCUUUAUUGUCUAGCGGUGUGAUAUCCUUUUUUGUCGUUUGCUUUUAAGUUUACUGUUUUCGAUACUGUUACCUGUCCUAAGCCGGGGAUCUAUCGGAAACAGUCUUUACUUCAAAUGAGGUAGUGGUAUGGAAUGCGUACACUUUACCCCUCCUAGACCCAGUUUGUGGGAAUAAACUGGGUAUGUCGUUGUUGUUGUUGUUGUUCCGAUGUUAAACAAAAUUAUGUUUUCUUAGAAGCUCUUGUGUGCAUGAAACCGAGUCGUAGGGGUUGUAUUUUGUAACUUCCUUCACUUGAGGAUAUGAUUCUUAUGGUUUAAACUUAUACUUGUUUUAUUUAUGCAUUUAAUUACUUUAUCUUCAAAGUUUGUUUGGUUGGUGGUUUGGCUUACCUACCAAGGGGAGAGUGUAGGUGUCAUUCAAGACCCUUGUGAAUUUUGGGUCAUGAUAAAACACUUUUAAAUUGCUACAAGUUGAUACAAUCGCUAUGUUUUGUUAACCUCGGACAUUUUGACAUGGAAUUGAACAAGGAAAGAUUUUAUUAAUUUCUACUAAACCAAGUCCAUGAACACCAACAAUGACAAUGUUAUUACCUGUUAUUUCAUCUCUUCCUUGGGUACAGCUCAACCUUUCUUUUUAUUUGGGUACUGCUAUCAAACACAAGAUUCGUAAAGAAUCUUGAAAAUCUCAACACUUCCUCAUUCGAGUAAAGCUUUGAGUUUGCAGAUAAAUCACAAAAAUAUGACGACUGAAAUAUGAUUAAUAAUCAGAAACUGCACCCUGGUGAAACUGCCAUUGUCCGAAUUUCAGCCGCCCUUAUGCUUGUGGUAGAUAAUUGUGAUAAAAAUAGUCUGUGGUGUUUAAUUCAAACUUGAGAUUACAAAGAGCAAAAAAGCUACAACAUUAUUGCGCUGCGAAUUAUACUUCAGGUACAUAACCCUCAAAGCAGCAAUUGUAUCUGUUUUGAUGGUUAAAACUAAUAAUCUUACAAAAAUCACAUGAAGAGAAUGUAAGCUGGAAUAUGUGAUGAUCCUAGAGAAAAAUGAUCCUUGAACAAAAUGAUAGUAUCUUUGGUAACAUCUUAGUUUACAACAGAUAUGAAAAGAAAAUUUAAUACACCCGUACCUGUUUGACAACCUCCUUUCUCACAUGCUUAUGAUACUCCGGAUUAUGAUACAACUGAUCUGCAAGGGCUCGAAACUGUCCAAUAAGUCGAAGGAAAUAGUCACAAAUAGCACACGUCUGCCAAGUGCAGCAAUGGCUUGUAGACUAGUUAAAGUAGACUAACCUGGCAAUUCCCAUCUCCUUGAAUUUGAAAUUCAGCAAGUCCAUAUGCUGCCAACCUGAAUGAUAGAUAACAUUAACUAGAUGCAUUAACAUGAAACAUAUUCCUUACUUACAGUACCAGAAUAGUAUAGAGAUAAAAAGUAGUAACAUUUUUACUCUUUUAACAAUUUAUGGCUUUCUUCCAUAAAUUAUGAUGAAUCGCGAAAUGCUAUGGUUCUUACAUAUAAUUUCUGAAUUUAUACAGAAGUAAUUCGCGAGAUCAUGCACCUCUCUUUCCUACUCACCUACAGAUCACAAAUAAGUACUUUUAACUAUCCCCAGGAGAACGAUAUAUUGAGAGUAACACCCUAAAAACUGUGGGGCUCUGACACAUUAAGUAAAGUGAUACACAACCUGCUAGACAGCCUCCCGUGGUCAAGUGUGGCAUCAUUAGGAUCGGGGAUCUGCCCAAUAACCCUUGGAGUGUGCUGAAAAUAUAGUAAAAUAAUAAGCGGAAUAUGAUGGCUGGUAGCAUAUGAUCAUUCCAAGAAUUAAAGCAUGCACUGAAUGACUGUUCACAUCAAUGCAACUGUGUACAGAAACUCAUUAUAACAUACUUUUUUUAUCACGAACCUGGGAUGAAAACUCAUUAUAACAUAAUUCUAUAGACGAUAAACGAAACUUUAAAUUUACAAAACAAGCAAAUUCUUGAUAACUUACAACAUUACAAUAUUGACAAAGAACUUCAUGUACAUAGAACAUUUUCUUAUAAGUCUCAAAAUUCUGUCUAGUACAAGUAAAUUUAUGAAAGUACCGGGAUGGAGUCCAAAUGAGAGAGUCUCUUCGCAAGCUUUCCCCCAUACCUCGAAGCAAUUUCUUCUUCUUCAGCCAAUAUUUUGGCAAUGGCAUGAUCAUCCUCAGUAACUUGUAAACUGCUAUUCAAGCUAGACGCAGAACUCGAACUUUCUCUUGAGUUGCCAUAAUGUUCAGUCAUAUUACGAUCAACAACAACUCCAGAUACAAGUAUAGACCUAUACAGCAAAAGAAAUAAUUCCUAUACAAAAUUAGUAGUGAUACAUAAAGAAAAAAAAAACGAAAAGGGAAAUCUAGUAUUCUUUGCGAGGUCCGUAUGAAGAAAAAGAAUUGCAGUGGGGAAUAACAAUGUAUCUAUUUUGGAUCUAAAAGCUCUUUAAUCAGAUAAAAGACCCAUAAUCAAGAACCAUAAAAGAACACAUAUGAAGUACCUUUUGGCCCAGUGAAGGAAAAGGGUAGAUUUGAUUACAAGAAAAAGAAAGCAAUGAUGGGAUUUGAUUUUGAUUCAAGAAAAGGGAGAGGGGUGGGCUAGUAGUGGAAGCGAAGAGUUAGUUGGGUAGGGGAGUCUCGUGAGUUGUGAGGUCGGAACACUUGGAUUACAAGUCAUUCACCAUUUUAGUAAGAAAAGAUGUUACCUCCUCAAACUAAAAUUUGUCUAUCAUUUUACUCUUCAAAAAGGAAGACGCUGCACCAUUCAUGAAUUUAAGCGGGUCUCCUUUGUGCCUGUUUGGAUGGUGGUUUCGGGAUGGUACGGGAAUAUGUUUGAUUGUUUUCUAAAAGUUAUUGUAUUUUAUGGUAUCUUUUUUAUGGUUACAUGAAAUACCUUGAACUGUCAUUUGGUGGCAUAACUGUCAAAAAAUGAGCUGGUCCAAUUCAAUUCAGUCCAAUACUUAUGGGCCAAAGAAUUUAAUAGGUCAGGACGGGUUGAUCCUUCAGGCCUUAAAAUGUAUGGCCCAAUCCAGUCCUAAUAGGAUCACGGCAAUUGAUUUUUUGUUAAAUUUUCUUUUUCAAUUUGAAAUAAUAAAUAUGAUAAUCCAUUCGCACUUCUAACAUAUUAUUAUAUAAAGUACAUAAUUCUACGAUGAUUUAUAAUAUUUUUAACACCAAUACAUUGUCAGACAUUUGAAUUCAUUGAUUACAUUAUCUUAAUUAACAUCAACAUUCAUCUAAAUUCAUAUGAAAAUUUAAUAAGUUGAACAAUAUCAAAAAGCUAUAUAUCAAAAAUUAAUAAUAUAUAAAAUUCACUUAAAAAUAUUAUCGCUAUGAAUUUGGAUAAUGUUGUGCAAUUAAUUUCGAAUAGCUAUAACAAGUAUUUGAACAUUUCAUGAUGGGUGCAAUUUUUAUAUUUAUGAUUAGAAAUUUUAAUAUUUGCCAUUUAAUUCUAUAUGAUUAAAAUAUUAUGUAAGAUACUAGGUAAAAUUCAUUGAGUAGUCACUAUUUAUAUUUUUAAUUCUUUUAAAUAGUAUUGAAAGAUUCUUCUGGAAUACUCCAGUUUUGAAGAUCAUUUUCAAUUGUAGCAAUCGGAGUAGCUUGAGAAGAUAAGUUAACGGUGUUUUUAACAUGACUAUUCAUCAUUUAAACAAACUGUCUAGAGGCUGAUAGAGCAAAUAUACAUGUUUAUACUAGCAAGCAUAUUAAAGAGUCUAGUAUAAAAUAACGAAAACUAAUUAUGUAGAUACAUCUAUGGCUUAUGGAAUCCUAACAAGUUUUAAUGGCAUUACUCUAUAGACAGCUAAGUGUUUUCUCAGUGACGGGACCACCAACAAGGUCUAACGUGCUUUUCCUAAGCUUUACGACCUACUUUCAGGCUAACCAACGUCUUCACCGGAGAUUAAUCGGUUCUGAAAAACACUUGAACAGUAAAUAGACACCCCAUACUUGGAUUAAAAUCCCAUUAUAAGACAAGACAUAAGAACAUAAUUAAAGUUUAAGGUAAAGCAUACUAGUUCAAAAUAAUAUAUUGUUAUAUAAACAUAAUUUUGCUCAUGCUCUAGACAGAUUAUAUGUUUAGCUGCUCAUGCUGAACAUAUAAUCUGCCAACAUGGCUCUGAUACCAGAAAACGGAUCGUAGGAAAACAGUUAAUUAUAGCGGAAUUUAAAUAGAGAAAUUAAAAGUAAUAGAGAUAAAACUUACAAGUUUAUUUAGAAAAACAUUACAAGGUUGAUUACAAGAGAUUGGGCAGAGAGAAUUUCUAGAGUUGGGAAAUUUCUGAAUGCCUUCUCUAAAGGGUUUACAAUGCCUUAUAUAGGCAAGAAGGAAUAUAUUAAAGUACAGAUGGACGGCUAUGAUUCUACCGACAAAGUUAAGUGUUUUGCUUUUUUAAAGCAAAAGUGAUUGACUUGCUUUUGGAAAAGCUGUGGUUUGCUUUUUUGAAAAGCUGGCCAGAUGCUUUCUUGAAGAAACAGCUGUGGUCCUGGAUUCCUGUUAGGAAUAGUAAGUUGCCCUUUCGAAGAGAUAAUUCCGGUUCUUUGAACCUCUAUCUCUCUGAAGGGUUAUUCUCCUAUUCAUAAUAGGGAUCUAGGUAGGCCAUAGCUAUUCCCUUAGGAUCUAGCAUAUCGCCGUUUUCGUCGCUGCUUCCAGUAGACGAGGCUUCUGCAAUGAGUUGUAGUAAUUCUUCUGUAUUAUCCAUGGUGUCUGGACCAUCUAGUUUGGCUAAUGCUUGUUUUAAUUUCUCCUUUAGUGCCUUCUUGGUAGUGGAAGAACUAGGAGAAGCUGUGGCAGAUUUUCCUUUGUCAGGAGUUUUAGAAGUGGUUAGCUUGGGAGUCCAACCCUUAAUUUUUAUUUCCUUUGAUAAGUAUUUAAUCCGGUGUUGCUCUUCCUUGGAGAAGUUCCAGGAUAUAAUAUAGGAUACUCGCUUCUUGAUGAAAAACUUGCACAUUUGAACAUGCUCUGGUAGUGUGGAGCAACCUUCUUUAAUCAGGAAGUCGGGAAGUCUGUUAAGAAAUUGUUGAGGAAGGAUUCCUUUAGUUCCUCCGGGUUGUCUCAGGUUUUACUGGUAUGCUCAAACACUGGUGGGACAAUUAUGUCUCUGAGGAUGAAAAGAACCAAACAAAUCCACCAUUCAUAAAACCAUCUGGGUAUGAUAAAGCCAUGAUAGAACUAUGUGAAAAAAUCAUUCUCAUUGGCAUUUUAACAAACAAGUUGAGGGAACAUAUGUUUCAAAACCACAACUAAGUAAUUUGGGGGAUUCCAAAGUACCCCUAAAGCCAUUUACCAUUACCAUGCAUUCCACAAUAUCAAAAUCAUAUUAAAAGCAUGAGAAACAUCAUUAAACCAUUAGAAACAUUAUUCAACCAUGAACAUCCAAAACUCCCAACCAUUAUUUCAAAACAUAAUAAUAUCAUGAAAAAUCAUACAUUAAAACACAUGCUCUUUGUACAAUAACAAUGAGGGAGGAGUAACAUGCCUUAUAUACCAAGGAAGAUGGAGAGAAACCAUCCUUGAAAACAUUAAUUGAUAUGUUGAAGAAACCCUAUCCUUUUGUUUGAGAGAGAUUUUAAGAGUAUUUGAUUGAGAAUAAUAGGUUAAUGAAGCCCCAAAAUGUGUUUUAUGUCAUGGUAUCAAAGGGAGUUACAAAGGAUAAAUGUCUAGAAUGCCCCAAAUUAAAACUGAAAAAUUAUCACAGGUAGGUACGAGUUGGCCCUCCAACUCGUCACUAUAACAUACGACCGGUACCAUUUAACCGUCACCAGCACAGAUGGUUGGACGCCCCACAUUGUCUACCAUACAAUUUCUUUUCCCUAGCUCGUGACCAUACUAUACGAGUGGUAUGGUCCAAUUGUACCCAUGACAAAAUCCAAAGGGAAUGACAUGGACAACAUACGACUUAACCUUACCACUUGUACCCUAUCCUCGUGGCUCUUAGUGAGCCACUCCUACUUAGAGCCAAGUCAAGUUACUAUGUUACUGAUUCGAUUAUAGGACCGACCCAAAUGAAUUGUCACCACCCCUAAUGACCCGUACCCACCAAAUCGUAACCUCAACAGAAACCUAACCCCCCUUCACUAGCCUCCUAACAACUAGGGUUCCCUAACUCGUACCCAUAUCAUACGACUUGUAUAGUGUGUCGUUACAAGGAUAGUGAUUCCAAAAUGUAGGAAAUUUUCAAGGGCCAAAACACAGGGUGUUUCUGUUUUCCCCUAAUUGGAUCAUUCAUCCUCGAAUGAUGGGCCAAGGAAGUGAUUAGUAUGAUUAGACCCCUAAAUGUCUCUACUCUUACCUUUAAGAUAGAAAACAGAGAUAACAAGGAAAUAAAAAUUUCCUUUAACAAAGUCAGAAAACAAAGAUGCUAAGAGAAACACAUACCUUAAGCAUGAUUUUCCGAAACGGAGAAUAGAAAUGGAUACUUGGACUUCAUGUCCUCUUCCGCUUCCUAUAUAGCUUCUUUCACCUUGUGGUUUCUCCAUAGAACCUUUAUCGAAGCUAUAUCCUUGGUCCACAAUCGACGAACUUGACGAUCCAAGAUCUCAACCCGGAUCUCCUUAUAAGACAGAGAAUCCAAAAUACCAAUAUCUUUGAUAGAAACUACUAGCGACGAAUCACCCAUACACUUCCUUAACAUAGAGACAUGGAAAACCAGGUGAAUGGAGCUCAAACUAAAAGGUAACUCUAACUUGUAUGCAACAUUACCAAUCUUUCUCCAAACCAAGUACGGACCAACAUAUCGAGGACUAAGCUUUCCCUUCUUCCCAAAUCACAUCACUCCCUUCAUGGAAAACACCUUCAAGAACACUCUAUCCCUAACCUCAAACUCUAACUUCCUACGUCAUACAUCCAUAUAGGACUUUUGGUGACUUGAAGCCUAUCCCGAAUUACCUUUACUUUCUCUAUAGCUUGAUAAACCAAAUCCAAGCCAAACAUCUCUGCCUCACCAACCUCGAACCACCCAAUGAGAGACCUACACCUCAUACCAUACAACCUCAAAUGAAGCCAUCCCAAUGUUAGAGUAGUUGCUAUUAUUGUAUGCAAACUUUAUAAGAGCCAAAUGCUCAACCCAAAUACCACUAUAGUCAAUCAUGCAAGCACGAAUCAUAUCCUCCAAUGCUGAAUAGUCCUUUCUGCUUGCCCAUCCGAUUGCGGGUGAAAAGUAGUACUAAGACUCAUCUUAGUCCCCAAACCUUUCUGAAACGAUCACCAAAAGUAAGAUGAAAACUACGUACCACGAUCAAAGAUGAUAGAAAUAGGUACUCCAUACUGCUUCACAGUCUCAUGAAGAUACAACCUUGCAUAGUCCUCAACCGAGAAAUUUGCCCUUACUGGCAAAAAGUGAGCAGACUUUGUUAUCCUAUCCAUAAUGACCUAAAUUGAGUCAAAUUGAUUUUGAGAUCGAGGAUGACUAGUAAUGAAAUCUAUAUUGAUCACCUCCUAUUUCCAAUCAGGCAACUCAAUUUCUUGAUACAACCCUCUGGGCCUCAGGUGCUCAACUUUUACUUUUGGGCACACCAUGCACUUGGCCACAAAACUAGCUACAUCCCUCUUCAUAUUGUUCCACUAAUAAAUUUCUUUAAGGUCACGAUACAUUUUCAUCGAACCAAGAUGAAUAGCAUAGCGUUCCUCUGCCAAAAUUCUCUUGUGUAAUCCAUCUAUGUCAGGAACACAUAACUUCCUUUGGUACUGCAAGGUACCAUCACCACUAAUCUCAAAAGCCACCACCCUCUUCCCACCUACAUCACACUUGAUCCUCAUUAAAAUAGGAUCCAACACUUGUUUCUCCUUUACCUCAGCAGCCAGGGAUGACUUCGCUACCUCCUAAAUGAAUAUUGCUACGAGAAAGACAAGAGAAGGCUUAAAAACUACUCAAAACAGUCCACAAAUCAACUAAAACCCGAGGACCCCUUUGAGAGCAACUUUCGGCCAACAAUAACAACACAAGGAUUACAAGAUACAAGGUGUAUCUUAACACCAAAACAAUAACAAUGACACAAGAUGAAAUAAGUCACAGAUUCAACACAAACAUAAGGGAAAUUGCAUAGAAAAUAAAGAUAGAUAGUGAGACCAAGAUUAUUACAAGAUUAAGAACCAAGUGUAUUUCAACACUAACCCCUAAUGAAUGUAACAAUCAAAACCACACUCUUAUGGUGACCACCAAGGGAAUGAACUCACCUCAAGAUCUACCGUUUUCAAGCAAAGAUUAAUAUUGGCUUUUCCAAGCCCUAUGCUAAGGAUGGAUUUUCCAAGUCCUACAACUAAGGGUGUUACACUCUCAAAAGAGAGAAAAUAUGUCUUUCAAUUCUUUAUCAUUCAAAAUCUGCAAAGAAAUGAGCUAAAAUGACCUAUUUAUAGUGUAUUAAAAAAGAAGACAAAAAGACCACUUUGCCCUUAAUGAUAGGUGCGGCCAUGGUGUGUAAAUACACCAUGUGUAAUAUUCAAAAUGCCCUUAAUUAAGGUCCAAAACCGUGAGUCCUCUAUCUUAAAUGCUCCAAGCAAUCUUCCACACGUGAGAUUGCUUUAAGUUAUGCUCAAAACGGGUCCUCCAUGCAUGUUCUUGUAUUCUCGAAGUGACCAAGUCUUGAGCCUCUAUAUGUUGGCCUCCAAAGAUGUCAUCAAAAGAUAAGAUGGCCAUUUGUCCCAUAUCAUCUUCCCCUUCUUAAAAAGGAUUCGACCUCGAAUCCAAACCUUGCAAAACCGAAGAGAGGACAAACAAAUACAAACUCCUCAUGACAUGAGGGAUAGGGUUAGCAUAACAAAUUAUCUCAAUAUGCCAAGGUUGCACAUAUUUACAAUAUAACCAAGAAUUCUUUAAAAGAAAUAUUAAAAACUCAAUAAAAAAUGUACAAAAGAUUUGUUAUAGGAUACAUCAAAAGUGACACUUUGCUUGUCAUGUAGACCAAGCAACAAGUUUUGUGCACCAACAUCACCAUUUCUUAAUUUGGCACCGGGGUCAAAUGGAAAAAGUGGCCAUAGAUACGGGUCUCGACAACACUUCUCUUUCCCGUGGUCUACACCCAAACUAAAUGACAUACUCUCUAUAAUAACAUAUAUAUCAUCCAAAGCAAAUAGAGAGAGAGAAAGGUAUCACUCAAAUCGACUUCUACUAAGGUGCUCUCAUGUGUGUACUCACUACUAGUUUCCCAAUAAUCACCAUAAGUACUCUAAAUAAUGAAAUCACACAAAGUAGAAGAAGAAGUAGCUUCCACAACUACACAUUCCUUACCCUUAAGAGUACUCUCAUCUUCCAAGAAGAGAUUUCCCUCUUUAGGAGGAAUAUUGUCACACCAUAGUGGGUUAGCAUAUAGGCUAUAGCUUCCAAGGCAAGCUAUACUAUCAUUUUUACCACUAGGUUCAUUAGAAGUGUUUAAAUCAUCUUCAAACAAGACAUUAUACCUAAAAAGAGUGUGAUCUAGCUCACAGACAUAUUUGGAACAAGCAAGUUCCUCACUCUCUAAAUGAUCAAUAUCAAGUUUCAAGGAUGUUUCAAACAUAAUAUUACCCCAAGAAGAGCUCCCGGGUUCAUUCUCACUUUGUUGACCAACAUUUUUAAAUACUUCACUCAGUUGAGUCCUAUUAAGCACACACAUACAUACUCAAGUGGUGGACAGUUUUCACAAACAAGUUGAUCAACACCUAUUACACAAGACGAUGUACUUCCAUUCAACAUAUAGGCUUCAACACUAGGUGGACAUAAAUUAAUCUCACAAGAGGAGUCUAUUUUGUCAUCAAUAGAAUCAACUAGUGUAUCCACACUCACAAUAUGUACAUCAUCAACAAGAGGUAAGGAAUCAUUAGACUCAUAAAUAAGUAAGCUACUACUCACACUCAAUGGAUUACUAGCCAUUCAAUUAUCAUUCAUAUGCAUUAAAGUGUAAGAGUUAGCUAUUUUACCUUGAAGAUCUUGAGUAGACUCUUUCUUUCUGUGAGGUGAAGGUCCUCCAUAAGCUUGGGCAACAGCUUCUUUUUUACAUUGGCCGCCUUUGCUUGCCAUGUUUGUACCUACAUAAAUGUCCAUAGAAAUAGAAGGACAUCCAAAGUUAGCAUGGUUUGGUGGUAAUCCCUUCACUUCGCUAAACACAACCUCUCCUUUUUCCGCUCUCAGAUUACCACCUUUCACUCCCUUACUCCUCUCAAUCUUUUGUCUCUCAUAAUAAUUCGAAUUGGAGUAGGUAGGAACUUCUUUUUGUGGCCCGGGCAGAAUGUACGUCUUGAGCCAACUUCUCCAUCGGUCUCUUAUAAUAUUAGGCCAAUUUUGCAUAUUUGGAACUUUAUGUUGUGCAAACCAAUCGGUGCCCAAGCUCACAUAACCAUAGGUUAUGGGAAAAAUAUCACACCAUACCUCCUCAUGGUAAUUAAAUUGGAAGAAGAUAUCUUUUACCCUCUCGAUAACCUUAAACCUGUCAAAGAAGUAUGGAACAAGUAAAGGCUCGUAAAAUAACCCCAAGUAAUCAACCAUGGAUGGAACAAUGUAGUUUCUAUAGUACCUAUUAUUUAACACAACGAGGCAGCCCGGUAUCCCAUAAAUGGUCACCUUUCGGGAGUGUACACUCCUUCUUGGAUUAACAUUGUAAACACAUGAGUACCCCUCGGUUUUAGAGAUGCAUACCCUCUUCUUCUCAUUGGACAGCCUACACUAUAGCUAAUAUAACCAUUCACACUAUAUUGACCUUGAUAAGAAGUACUACAAAGUGGAUAAUAUGAAUCUUCACACUCCUCACGUGUACUUUCAUCAUAACUCUCAUAAGGUUUGCGAAUGAAAGGGUUAUACGAAACACUAAAUCUAGGUUCGGAGUGGGGAGUGCAAGACUCCUCACAUGUCCCAACUUUAUCAUAAGAUCCAUCACAAGGUCCUAUAUCAUCUCCAAAGUCACCAUAAGCACUAGGCACUUCAUUCACCUCAUUUUCUCCCUCAAAAUAGCAACUUUCAAAUCUGCCUAUAUUUUGAUCAUGGCUAUUUUCAUAGCUUCCGCAAUCUCCCUCAACUUCGUAGCCAUAAAAUCCCUCACUACAAUUAUAGUCUCCCAUAUUGUAGUCAUAAUAAUCCCUGGCUAUCGAAGUCAUGUUCCCCUUAUAUCACCCUUUAAACCUACAAAAUGAACAAACAAGAUUAGUAGUAAAGCUCCUCACCAACACUCGUAUUCACUCACUUAUGUGAUCCCCACAAUUUGGAGCAGCGCUAUUGAAAGUUGCUUGUAUUUCGAUAGUCAAUAGGAUGUCAAUUCUACUUAGUGGCCGGAAUAGAUUCUUAUUUGAUUGACUCAAGACACAAGACAAAAAAUUCUACUUACGAACUUGAAACAAAAAGUUACGACGAAUUAAAAAUGAGAAAAGCACACAAAUAAUGAAAACACGACAAAAACGAAUUCAAAAACUAAUUCACAAUCUAGUAGGUGAUUACUAGUUUCUAAUUAGUACUAGAAUCAAGAAAUGAAACUAACGAAACAAAGAAAAGAAACUUUAAAAUCUGAAAUUUGAGCUUCAAGGUUUUUUUGGAACAUUGAUGAUGUGGCACUUAGAUGACGUAGCAGUUUGGUGAUGUGGCAAUUUGGUGACAUGACAGUUUGCAAUUUGGAUUGGUCAAAUUUUUAAUUUGGGAGAGCGAAAAAUCAGCNNNNNNNNNNNNNNNNNNNNNNNNNNNNNNNNNNNNCUUUUUUCAAAAUUCAAAAGACUUUGACUUUCCUUGCACCUUUUUGGCAAGACACCUUUUUGAAAGCCUUUGUCUCCUUUCCUCUUUUGUUUGUCUUGGUAUGUGCCCUUACUCUCUUUUGGUAAGGAGUCUUUUUGAAAGUCCUAUUGUCCCCUUUCAUUUUUUGUAUGUUCUCUGGGAUAUGUUUCAAGACUAACAAAAGACUACACUCUUUUCUCCACUCUUUAAGAUCAAAUCACACCUAUUGAAUGUUUUUGUUCAACAAUAAAUGAUAAACAUGAAGAACAACAAGAACACUCAAAAGAUUGAAACUAAACCAAAUGAACUCCAAAUUGAAUGAUUUUGGAUUCCUUUUGCUCACGUUAAACUCCAUAACACAACCAUUCAUUUUUCAAGCCACAAUUUCAACAACAAGCCUUCCAAUUUCGAGCUUCACCUUACUAGUUUCUUUAACCUUAAACUCAACAAUGGUGAACAACUCAAAACCAUCCGGAUUAAGCUCAAAUCCAAGAUCUAGGCUCACUUAGUGUUAGGAACAAGAACCUAACACUAGAAACAACAAAACAUACUAAAAUCUCCAAAAUCUAAGUCUCAAAUUUCAGCUCAAACACAAAAAGGGGACAAAUUUCUUUUUUUUGAGAUUUUUGUUUUUUCAACACUUUUUUUUUAAAAAAAAAAUUCAACUAACAAGCCCAAUAUUGAUUUUGUUGGAACAAAAUCAAUCCUUGCUCUGAUACCAAAUGAUACGGGAAAGACAAGAGAAGGCUCAAAAACUACUCAAAACAGUCCACAAAUCAACUAAAACUCGAGGACCCCUUUGAGAGCAACUUUCGGACAACAAUAACAACACAAGGAUUACAACAUACAAGGUGUAUUUUAACACCAAAACAACAAUAAUGACACAAGAUGAAACAAGUCACGGAUUCAACAUAAACACAAGAGAAAUUGCAUAGAAAAUAAAGAUAUAUAGUGAGACCAAGAUUAUUACAAGAUUAAGAACCAAGUGUAUUUCAACAUAAAACCUUAUUGAAUUUAACAAUCAAAACCACACUCUUACGGUGACCACCAAGGGAAUGAACUCACCUCAAGAUCUACCAUUUCCAAGCAAAGAUCAAUAUUGGCUUUUCCAAGCCCUAUGCUAAGGAUGGAUUUUUCAAGCCCUACAACUAAGGGUAUUACACUCUCAAAAGAGAGAAAAUAUGUCUUUCAAUUCUUCAUCAUUCAAAAUCUGUAAAGAAAUGAGCUAAAAUAACCUAUUUAUAGUGUAUUACAAAAGAAGAUAGAAAGACCACUUUGCCCUUAAUGAUAGGUGCGGCCAUGGUGUGUAAAUACACCAUGUGUAAUAUUCAAAAUGCUCUUAAUUAAGGUCCAAAACCGUGAGUCCUUAAUCUUAAAUGCUCCAAGCAAUCUUCCACACGCGAUAUUGCUUUAAGUUAUGCUCAAAACGGGUCCUCCAUGCAUGUUCUUGUAUUUUUGAGGUGACCAAGUCUUGAGCCUCUAUAUGUUGGCCUCCAAAGAUGUCAUCAAAAGAUAAGAUGGCCAUUUGUUCCGUAUCAAAUAUAUCACCAUCCUAAGAGUCCAAGAGAUAAAUCCUAAGGUUAGCCAAAAGGUGAACAUCUUUCACCAACUCUCGCGUUCCUUCAUCCACAUGAGAUAGACUUCCCAUGGGUAACCUGCUAAGAGCAUCAGCGACCACAUUUGCUUUACCUGGAUGGUAGUAAAGACUUAUGUCAUAAUCCUUAAUAGAUCAAGCCAUCUUCUUUGUCUGAGGUUUAGCUCUUUCUGAGUAAACACAUAUUGCAGGCUCUUAUUAUCAGAAAAGAUAUCCACAUGCACGCCAUAUAAAUAGUGACACCAGAUAUUUAAUAUGAAUACCACAACUAAUAAUUCUAAGUCAUGGGUCGUAUAAUUCUUCUCAUGCACCUUCAACUGUCUAGAGAAAUAAGCUAUCACCUUGCCAUGCUGCAUCAAGAUGCACCCAAGCCCUACACGGGAUGCAUCACAAUAGACCACAAAGCCACCAGUUCCUUCAGGCAAAGUCAAGACUAGUGCCGAGGUCGGCUUAUCCUUCAUCUUCUCAAAACUAUCCUCACAAGCGUCUACCAUAAGAACUUUACCUUCUUCUAAGUUAACUUAGUCAAUGGGGCAACUAUAGAAUAAAAACUUUUCACAAACCACCUAUAAUAAUCAGCUAAACCCAAGAAGCUUCGAAUAUCAGUUGGAGUCGUGGGUCUAGGCCACUUCUUAACCAUAAUAACUCUCUGUGAAUCCACUAUGAUUCCCUCACUAGAAAUGACAUGACCCAGAAAAGUAUUAAUGUUCAACCAGAACUCACAUUUAAAAAAUAUGGCAUAUGACUGCUGCUCUUUAAGGGCUUAUAAUACAAUAUGGAGAUGAUUGACAUGAUCCCCCCACUCUUUGCAUACACCAAAAUAUCGUCCAUGAAUAUAAUGACAAAGAAUUCCUGAAACUGUCGGAAGACUUUAUUCAUCAAAUCCAUGAAUGCCGCUGGGGCAUUAGUCAAACCAAAAGACAUAACUAAAAACUCAAAAUGCCUGUAUCGAGUACGGUAGGCAGUUUUUGGGAUAUCCACUUCCUUAAUCUUUAGCUGAUGAUACCCAGAUCGAACAUCAAUCUUAGAAAAAAACUUAACACCCUAAAGUUUAUCAAAGAAAUCAUCUAUCCUUGGAAGAGGGUACUUAUUCUUUACCGUUACCUUAUUCAAUUAUCGGUAAUCACUACACAUCCGAAGGGAACUAUCCUUCUUAUGCAUGAAUAAAACUAGUGCUCCCAAUAGAGACAUACUAGGACGGAUGAAACCCUUACCUAAAAGAUCUUUUAGUUGCUCCUUAUGAUACUUCAACUCAGUUGGAGUCAUUCUAUAUGGAGGAUAGAGAUCGAAUGAGUGUCUGAAACAACAUCAAUCCCAAUUUUAAUCUCCCUAUCGAGAGGAACACUAGGGAGGUCAUCAUGAAAGACCUCAGGAAAUUCAUUCACUAUUAGGACAGAAUGCAAAGAAGGAUCCUCAAGUUAGAAUCUUUAACCAGGACCAGAUGGUGGAGACACCCUAGGAGAUUUAUCUCCUAGCUCUAAGAUACGAAAUGAACUUCCUCUUAGGAGCUAGGGAACCACCGUCCCAUUUAUAACCAGUUCCUUAGGGAACUUAAAAACAACCUUACGGGUUCGACAGUCUAGGGAAGCAUAGCAGGAGUGCAACCAGUCCAUCCCUAAUAUGACAUCAAAAUCAAUUAUAUCUAAUUUAAAUAGAUCCACCAAGGUUUCCCAACUACCCAUAGACACUACAUAGCCUCUAUAGACUCUUCUAGUCACCACAGAGUCACCCACUGAGGUAGAAAUUAAGAAAGGAUCUGAAAUAUAUUAGGGAUCAAAACCAAAAUGCACAGCCAUAAAUGGUGUCACUUAAGAGAGAAUGGACCCCAGAUCAAGUAAACAAUACACAUUAUAGGAAAAAAGUUUCAACAUGCCAGUAAUGACAUCAAGUGAUGCCUUAGACUCCUGGCAGGUAGUGAAAACAUAGAGUUGAUUUUGAUCAGUGUCAGAGCCAGAUGGGGCACCUUAGUGCCGGAGCUGAAGAGAAGGCAACAGGAACCUUGUUUUCCCUAGUGGCAACUUUUCCAACAGGAUAACUUUUAACCAUAUGCUCUGGAUGACCAUAGUUGAAGCACUUGUUCUUUACUUCAUUGUAGUAACCUAGAUGCAAUCGACCACAAAAUCUACAGGGAGGAUAUGAUAGAGCUGAUUAGGCCUCAUUGAGAUUGGACACCCUAUGCCUUAUAAUUAAUCCCACUAUGAAAAUGCCUCUCACCAGAUAACUUUGGGUAGGGAUAACUAGCCGUCGAGUAAGACCCAGAGUGCCAUUUCUUUUUGAACCACUUUCCACCAUCUCUGCCACUCUGCUAUUGGCCACCGUGCUGCUAAAAAAAUCUAAACUUCUUGCUCUGCCUAUCCCCUAUUUUGGUAUACUUUUUUUUCUCUUCUUCAACCUUCUGUAUAUACACAACCAACUUGGAAAUAUCCAUGUCUUUGUUCAAUAAGGCAACCUUACUCUCCAAAAUUAAGUCUCAAGAUAAUCUAAAAACAAACUUUCUCAUUUUAGACCUCUUGCUAGAGACCAACUCCGAAGCAUACUGAGAUAACUAGUGAAACUUCAAGACAUCCUUCUUGCCUGACAUCUUGCCUUACUUUAAGUUAACAAACUCUUCUAUCUUUGUUUCUCUCGACUUUUGAGGAAAGAAGUAGUUCAGAAAAGCACUAGAGAAAUCAUCCCACAGGGAUGACUCAGCAUCGUCACCCCUUGACUGCUCCUAUUCCUUACACCAUUAGUAGUUUACUUCUUUUAGUUGAUAGAUAAUAAAUUCUGCACCCUCCACAUUAGUAGUAUGUAUAAUAUAGAAGAUCUUUUCUAUCUUAUCAAUAAAGCCUUAAGGAUUCUCCUCAACUUUAACACCUGUAAAUACAAGAGGGCUCAACCUCAUAAACUGGCCAACCUUUGUGCCUAAGAAGAUAGAGUAAUAGAAGAACUGCGCUCAGUCUGAGAAGCUACCAACAUAGCUAACAUAUGAAUAGACUGACGAAACUCAGCGUUCAUCUCCUAGGCCUGAGGGGCUCGAGGAGAACUAAAGGGAAAUAAUGGAACUCCAAGAUAACAAUCAAGAACUAGACCCCUAGAUCAGGUCUGGACCCCAUAAGUAGGACAAAUCCAAUAAACAUUGCCCUCGGGUGGGAUGAAGGAGUUUCUUUGAACUUCAGAUCAUCGAGGAGGCAUGAUUUGAAAAGCGAACAAACAAGAAUUAGAGAAGAUUUUAGGACCUUAGACUCUACAGCUUGAAAACAGAACACAAAAAUGAGAAACAUUCCUAAAUGCCUCGUAGCCUCUCCAUUAUGAGUGUGGCAUGCUACACACCCUUAAAAGAGACUCUACUCAACACGAAUUUGUCAAACACCUAACUGACAAUAAACUUAGGGCUCUGAUACCAAUUUGACAUGACUCAAACCAUGGCAUAGUCGUGUCGGGCAUCUCAAGUCCAACUAGGAUCGGAGACCACCUUCAUUACCCAAUCAUAACUGCCCUACACCCUAUGUCGGAUAAAUUUCAAACAUAUAAUAAGAUAAGAAAUUUAAUAAUUUUAAGGAUAAUAUACAUAGUUUAAAACCAUAAUCCAAUAACCUUAAUCAAGUAUCCAACCGGUGUCCACCCCAAUGCCAAAACUAAUACCAAGGCUGAAACCAAUACCAACACCGCCCAUGCCCAUAUUUGUUUGACAAAUCCUCUAACUAGAAUCAAGUAACAUCCAGUCGGGGCAUGCCCUCGACCUUAGCCAAAACUUAACCAAAGUAAUAACAAAAAUAAAAGUGAAAUGGAGCUUUCUAGAGUAUGAAAGCUCACCACUUUAGUCUGACUCAAAGUUGUCCCCGAAUCUAAGUCACUUAGCGAGAGAAAUGGUAGUAUGACCAGUUCCUACAUUGCAUGGGGAUAUCAUGCCCGAAGACUGUUAGUGGGGUAAAUGUAAUGUCAUUAUUCAAAACCAAAGCAAAUAACCAUAUGCAAUCACACAUAUACAUAUAUAUCAUGCUGGGAUUGGGGAUCGGGUUUAACAUGUAUUUAAAACCUUAACCUGUUGAGUAGCUUUAUCGUCCUAAAACCAACCAUGGCUAUAUGGGUUCAGCUACCUCUACUGAAGGUCCCUAGUGUGUGUUGCCCCCACGACCGAAGAAAAAAACUUGAGAUGACUAGUACAUCUUCUAAAAUAUAGAGUAUGACAUUAUGCACACGGUCACUAAGUAAUACAGGGGUAGAUACGAGACAAUAAAAUAGCCAAGAACACAAGAAAAAACCGAAAGCAAGACAAAAAUAAGCUACGACAAAAAUAACACAAAUUGAGAAUAAGAAACAAGAUACAAAUAUACACAAAAUGCAUUAAGAUAAAGGGUUGUUGGUUUGACAUAAAGAGAUUACAAAACCCAAGAACCAAGACAUGUCUCAAAUGGAAAGACCCCUAAAUCCCGUAAUAACUAACAACAAACUCUUACGUGUCCCAAGAAGGAAUUCUCUCACCUCAUAAACCUAUAUUUCUAAGCUAAGAUUUCAACACAUAUAAGUACCAUACUUGUCUAGCCUUGUUUCGAUUUCGGUCUACUCUCACUAGAGAGGAUUUGUGAUACAAUAUUUCUUUUACAUUUCCAUAUUCAACAAAAACUAAUGAAAUAAACCUAACAAGGGUCUUCUUAUAGUCUAUUACAAAUAAAGAUAAAAUAGCCAUAUUUCCCUUAAUGAGAGGGGUGGACAUGGUGUGUUAAGAUACCAUGUUCAAUCUCUUAAAUACCCAUAUUGAAGGGGAGAUCAUGGUGUGUUUGAACUUAAUGAAUGGAUCCUCUUCAAUGCUCUCAAAAUUAUGAGUGGAUCAUACUUCAACACUUGUAUUUUUGGGUUGGCAUCAAGGUAAGCAUCCAAACAACCUUCCACACAUGGGAUUACUCUAUUGUGGGCUCAAAAUGGGUCCCCCAUGUGUGUCCUCGUGCCCUCAAUAUGACCAGAAUUGGAUUCUUUAUGUGUUUGCCUUGAAUGAUGUCUUCAAAAGCUAUGAAGACCAUUUGGCUCGUAUCAUUCUCCCCUUCUUAAAAAGGAUUCGACCUCAAAUCCAUACCUUGUAAAAUCAAAUAAAGGACAAACAAGCAUAACGUACUUAUGGCAUGAGGGUUAGGUUAGUGCAAAAAAUAACAUCAUCAUGCCACGAUGGUGUACACUUGAAAUAUAACCAUGAAGCCUUUGCUUUUAACAUGAAAAGCUUAGUGAAAAUGUCACAGAAAAGUGGCUAUGAUAAUUACCAAGAGAUAAUGAAACUACAAAAGUCAUAAUGGCAUCACUAGAUACAAAAGGUAAGAUUACCUUUACCUUAGGAGCCAUAAGACAUAAUUGCUUCAUCACCUCUUUAAAAGACCACAUCAAGAGUGGUGCCUUAAUUAAGGUUAAAUUCCAUGACAAAACAUAUAGCACAGUCACUCAAACAAGUAGAUGAAGCAACAAAUAUCCUACCUCCAGAUAAGUUCAUUCUAUAACUAUCAUGGAUGUCAUCAUAUGCAAAGAGGUAGUAUAGGAAAGAAUCAAGUACAAAGGUAUUAUUCAAGGUGCUAUCAUCUACAAGAACACAAUUUGGCCCAAAAGAUAUAGCACAUAAAGCACGCAAGGAUGGAAUUAGGACACUUAAGCACAUAUGGCUUCUUCUUUUCAUAGAACUUCCCGAGGGAAGGAACUUCAUCAAUGGAGUCAUACAAUUAGGGAAAAUUUAGAACCUACUAUGCAAUAAACCAUUCCAAGAUAAGUAGUUUUCCUAAAAACUUUGUUUCCCUCUACGAAUGAUUUUAAGAAUGCUCCCAAGAGUCACACAAGAUACUUCAACUUGUCCAACCUUAUGAAGGUGACAAGAAGUUGUGAACAUCCUUGGACUCUUCUACAAACAAGGAUUCAAUUUAGCAUUCAUAAGUUGUGGUCCAUGUAGAUGCAAGUAUAUGAAUAAUACCCUAAAAGAGAAUGAUACUUUUGCUCUUGAGUUUUUAAGAAUGACACUUUACUAGUCAUGUAGACCAAGCAACAAGUUGGGUGUGCCAACAUCACCAUUUCCAUAUUUGGCAUCAGGAUCAAAUAGAAUGAGUAGCCAUAGACACGGGUCUAGACAAUACUCUCUUGACCUGUAGGCCUUACCUAAACUACAAGAUAUACUCUCUAUAAUAGCAUACAUAUCAUUAAAAGAAAAUAAAGAGUAGAGAAAGGUAUCGCUUGAGUCAACUUCUACUAAGGUGUCCUCAUGUAUGUACUCACUACUAGUUUUCAAAUCAUCACCAUAAGUACUCCCAACAAUAAGGUCAUACAAGGUAGAAGACAAAAUAAUCUCCAAGACUACAUAUUCCUUACCCUUAAGAGUACUCUCAUCUUCCAAGAAGAGAUUUUCAUCUUUAGGAGGAAUGUUAUAACACUAUAGUGGGCUGGCAUAUAGGCUAUAGCCUUUAAGAAAGCUAUACCUUCAACAUCAUUCUCACCACUAGGUUUAUUAAGAGUGAUUAUACCAUCUUCGAACAAGAUGUUAUACCUAAGGAGAGUAGGAUCUACCAUCGGGGAAGAUUUAGAACGCACAAGUUCAUUCUCUAAAGGACAACCAUCAAGUUCCAAAGAAGUUUCAAACACAUAAUCAUCCUUACGAGCAAUAAAACCUAUAGGGUCUCCUUUACCAAAAGGCAAGAUCACGGGUUCACUCCUAUCUCUUUGACCAACAUCUUCAAUUACAUGAUUUCUAUGAGCAAAACUAACAAUAAGGCCUUUAUCACACAACAUGAUUAAAGAAUUAUCUCCAAUAUCAUAAUCAACUCUAUCAAUAUCAUCACUAACUUGAGACUCAUUAAGCACACCAUACACAUACUCAUGUAGUGAAUUACAUUCAUGAGUAAGUUUAUCAUUAUACACACCCUCACUAGUUGUUGGCAACUCACAUACCAACGUAGAAUCACCUUGGUUUACAUAAAGGUCAACUAGUGUAUGAAUACUCUUAUCACUCAGCAAUAGGGCCUUGUUCAAGUUAUAAGUAAUAACACUAGGUGGACACAAAUCAUUCUUACGAGAAAAAUCAAUUUUGUCAUCGAUAGGAUCAACUAGUGCUUGCAUACUUACAAUAAGAGUUCGGUCUUUAUACAGCCUAGCAAUACUAAGAGUAUCACAAAGGGAAGACUCAUUCUAUUCUCCCCUAGGUAAACCCGCAAGUACACCUUCUCGGAUACUACUAGCCACAUCACAACAUGCUAAGUUCAUAGGAGUAUAAGGAAUGACAUCGUUACCUUGUAGAUCACACGGUUUUGGUGUAGCUUGGGGCACUUGGUUAAGUGGAUCUUAGAAUAGAGGGAUCAUCUUUGGUAUAGUUUAGGAGUUUCUUCGACCUCUGAUGUGACCCAACCUUCCACUUAUAGUGGACAUAUCUCCCUUCAAUGAUGACAUAUCCUCUUUGAUUGAUGUUAUGUUGGUAAGUAACCUUUUAUAUCUCUGGUUGAUAUCUUUAAGAGAGGCCAAGAUAGUGUGGGAAGCAUUAUUAUCCAUGGUACCUAAGAAAGACAAUAAAAAAACAAACAAAUAUGUUAGCUCAAAAGGUAUCCUCUCCACACUCUCAUACUUUUGGUUACUGUACACUUGGCUUCACAAGUGUUAAAAGUUGGCUUAUAAUAUGUGAGAAGUUGAGGGAUGAGUUCUACUCUUCUUCGAAAUGGGUUUUUUGUUUGAAAGACUCAAAGAAAUCUUGCUCAAACUUGAGCCAAGAAACCACAGUGAAUUAUUAAAAUUUAAAAUUACUGGCCAUGUGGCAACAUUGGAUUGGGCAUUGGAAUUGUUGAAAUUUGAAAAAAAUUUCUUGUCUUCAAUUUGUAUUGAACAAUUUUCAAUUUAGAAUUGUGAAAAUCAGCUUUGGGAGAGAAGAAAAAAAGUUUGGAGCCUUUUUCAAUUUCAAAAAGGUUUGACUUUUCUUGCACCUUUUUGGCUAAACACUUUUUUGAAAGACUUUUGGCUCUUUACCUUAUUGCUUUGUCUUGGUAGGUGUUCUUUCUUUUUUUUGGUAAGACAACUUUUGAAACUCUUUUGUCUCCUUACUUCUUUGGUAUUUUCUUAGGAUAGGUUUCAAGAGUAACAAAGACCACACCUUAUUUUUCCACUUUUUAAGAUCAAACUACCCCUUUGAGUGUUCUUGCUCAACUAUACAUGAAGAACAACAAGAACACUAAAAAAUGAAUCCAAUCUAAAGGAGCUCUAAAUUGAAUAUUUUUGUUUUCUUUAGCUCAUUUUGAACUCCACAACAAUAUCAAUACAUGCUCAAUCCACAACAACAACAUGUACAAACUUGAAUCCACAAUAACAACAACCUUCGAAGUUCAAGAACAACUCAAAAAUAGCUCAUAAUUUAGAUCUAGACUCUAUUAGUGUUAGUAAAGAAGGUGAUAACACUAUAAACAAUCAAAACACAUAAAAAUCUCCUAAAUCUACGAUACAAAUUUUGGCCAAAGACCAAAAAUAGGAUAGAUUUCUUUAUUUUGAGAUUUUUGGUUUUUCAACGCCUUUUUUAUGUUUUUCGAGUUAAAAAAUCCCAAGAUUGCUCUAGAUCUCGCAGGAAUGAAAUCAAUCCUUUCUCUAAUACCAAAAGAUAAGGGGGUAGAUACAAGACCCUAAAAUAGCCAAGAACACAAGAUAAAAUUGAGAGCAAGAUGGAAACAAGAUACGGCCACAACAACACAAACCGAGAAUAAGAAACAAGAUACAAAAACACACAAAAUGUAAUAAGAUAAAGGAUAAUUAGUUUACCAUAAAGAGAUUGCAAAACCCAAGAGCCAAGACGUGUCUCAAACAUCAAGACCCUUAAAUACCGUUAUAACUAACACUAAACUCUUACAUGACCCAAGAGGGAAUUCACUCACCUAAAAAACCUACGUUUCUAAGCCAAGAUUUCAACACAAGUGAGUACCACACUUGUCUUGCCUAGUUUUGGUUUUGGUCUACUCUUACUAGAGAGGAUUUGUUAUACAAUGCUUCUUUUAGAUUUAAAUAUUCAACAAAAACUAUUGAAAUAAACCUAACAAGUGUCUACUUAUAGUCUAUUACAAGUGAGGAUAAAAUGACCAUUUCCCUUAGUGAGAGGGGCGGUCAUGGUAUGUUAAGACAUCAUGUGAAAUCUCUAAAAUACCCUUAAUGAAGGGGAGACCAUGGUGUGUUUUUACUUAAUGAAUGGCACCUUUUCAAUGCUCUCAAAAUCGUGGGCGGUUCAUACUUCAACACUUGUAUUCUUGGGUUGGCAUCAAGGUAAGCAUCCAAGCAACCUUCUACACACGAGAUUACUUUAUUAUAGGCUUAAAAUGGAUCCCCCAUGUGAGUUCCCGUGCCCUCAAUGUGACCAAAAUCGGAUUCUUUAUAUGUUGGUGUUGUAUAAUGUCUUCAAAAGCUAUGACGACCAUUUUCCUUGUAUCACCAAGACUACUCUCACAUCGGCAAACAUAAGUUUUUGGUAUCGGUCCCACUGAUCCCUCACCUUCCAUAGUGUUGCUACCCGACCCUCUUAAGCCCAAUUAAACCAUUUUAAAUAUAACCAAACCAUUUACCAAGGAGUCUUUUGUCUAGGAAUUAACUAUUGGUAUCGUCAUACAAAAAUUAGAGCUUGCAAGUCUAUCCUCUUAUGCUAUACCAAUACCAUUAACUAAGUUGACUCCUAAGUUUCCAGUUGAACCAAAACUAUGGCCAUCAAUUAUUGGGUAUGUCAUUAUGUUAACUUUAUUCCCAAGUUAUUUGCUAGUGCUCAACCCACUAACUAUCUUCGAAUGCUGUAUACCCUCAUAAUAUAGACACAUAUACCUCUACUUUUCCUGUACAGAGUUAGGUGGAUUGUCUUAAUUUAUCAGUUUAUUUUGGUAAAGUGGUGAGCUUCCAUUCUUCGAAAGACUUAGACAUUUCAUUUGUUCUUAUCAUUAAUUAAGAUUGAGUUUUCAUUAUCAUUAACAUUAUCAUUGUCAUUAUUGGAGCAUAUCCCAACCAAGAUUGGUUUUGGUUCUUUUUGCAUUGAGGUUUUAUUGGAUUACUAUAAAAUUGGGUGAUGUUGGUUGGAUGUGUUUGGUCAGUUGCCAGUUAUCGAUUAUAGACAUAUCUUUUAUUCUUUAAACUUAUCUUAUGCUAUCUCCUUAUAUAUUCAAAAUUCAGCCAUUGUUGGGCGGUGUAUGGUAUUUGGUUAGGUUUAAAGGGUGGUCUCCAGUCAAUAAUGGAUUAGAAAGGCCUGUCACAGCCAGGCCCUAGUUUAAGUUAUGACAAAGUUGGUAUUAGGGCCUAGGUUUGGUGUCAUUGGGUAUACACAACGAUGUGUUAAGUAGAGUCUCUUUUGUGGGUGUGUAGCAUGCCACACUUAUAAUGGAAAGGCUAUGAGGCAUUUAAGAUUAUUUCCCUUUCUUAUUGUUCUAUUUUGAGCUAUAGAGUCUAAGGUCUUGAAAUCUCCUCUAAUCUCUAUUUGUUCGCUUUUCAGAUUAUGCUUUCUAAAAGAUCUGAUACUUGUGAAAAUUCUUUUAUCCCGUCAGAGAAUAAUGUGGAUAGAGCUUGUCCUAGUCUAGGGUCAUUUCUUCUAAUUGCCCUAGUAAAAUUCCCCUAGUUCCCCUAGCCCUCCUCAGGCACCUCAAGCUAGCGUGUCUAAUAUUGAGUUUUGCUAGUUAAUUCAUUUGCUUACCCAGUUGGUGGCAGACUGAGUAUGUUACUUUUGUUGCCCCAUUCUCUGAGGUCACUAGAGUUGGCCAAUUUAUGAGGUUGGGUUCUCUGACUUUCACUGAUACUAAAGUCGAGAAAGAUCCUUAAAAUUUCAUUGAUGAGAUAGAAAAUAUGUUUUGUGUGAUGCAUACUACUAAUAUAAAGGUUGUGCAGUUGCUUCCUAUCAGUUAAAGAAUGUAGCGUAUCAGUGGUAAUGAUGAAUAGGAUCAGUCUAGGGGUAAUAAUGCUGAGUCUACUUUGUGGGACAACUUUUCUAGUGCUUUUCUUAAUCUUUUCUUUCCUUAGAAGUUAAGGAAGGCAAGGUUUGAGAAAUUUGUGAACUUAAAGUAAAGCAGAAAGACAAUAAUCCUUGAAGUUUCAUUAGUUGUAACGAUAUGCUCCAAAAUUUGUGUCUAGCAUGUGGUCUAAAAUGGGAAAGUUUGCUUCUGGGUUAUCCCGUGAGUUAAUUUUUGAGAGAAAGGCUGCCUUGUUGUAUAAGGACAUGGGCAUCUCUAUACUUGUGGUGUAUAUGCAAUAAGUGGAAAAUGAGAAGAAAAAGCAAGUAGAGAUGAGUGAAAGGUAGAAUACAAAUUUUUGGUAUUAAGAUCAGGGUAAAGGUUAGGAGGAGAGUGGUAGAGAUGGUAGAAAUUAGUCUAAGAAGAAAUAGGGCAAUUUUGAUUCCUACUCUAUGGAUAGUGCUUCUUAUCUAAGGCCAUUGGGUGAUUAUUGUUCUUAGAAUAGUGUUGGUUCCAAGACAAAGAGUGUCAAUCCAUAGGCUAGUGGGGCUUAGUAAGGUCUAUUAUAUCUCUCUUAUAGAUUUUGCAGCUUAGUGCAUUAUGAUAUUUGUGAAGAGAGAAGGAACAAGUGUUUUACGUAUGGUCAUAUUAGUUAUAUGAAGAGGGAUUGCCCUUCUAGGGUUUCUUUUGGGGAAAAUAAUAUCUCUGUUGCUACUUCGCUAGCUCUUGCAACAAAGGGUGCUACUUCUGAUUUUGGCUCCGGCACUGGUCGGAAUCGUUUGUACGCUCUUUUUGUACGCUCUCCCCGCUCACCAGGAUUUUGAGGCAUCCUCCAAUAUUGUUACUGGUAAGCUCAAACUUUUUUCUCGUUAUGUAUAUAUAUACUUGAUCUUGGGUUUACCCUUUCUUAUGUGACCCCUUAUGUGGCUAUUCAUUUUGGGUUUGGUCUUGAGUGUAUUCUGGAUCCCUUCUUUGGGUCCACCCGGUGGGUGACUCCAUUGUGGCUAAAAGGGUAUAUAGGGGUUGUGUAAUGUCUGUCAGUGGUAGAAAAACCUUGGUGAGUCUGAUAGAGUUAGACAUGUUAGACUUUGUUGUGAUUUUAGGGAUGGAUGGUUGUACUCGUGCUAUGCGUAGCUUUAUUGUCGAACCCAAAGGGUCAGUUUCCACUUCCCUAAUGAUUCGGUGAUUGAAUGGGAAGCUAGUUCCCUAGUGCCUAAGAGAAGGUUCAUUUCAUUUCUGAGAGCCCAGAAGUUAAUUUCCAAGAGGUGUCUCUACCACUAGUUCAUGUUAUGGAUUCUAGAUUCAAAGGUCCUUCUUUGUAUUAUGUCCCUAUGGUCUGUAAGUUUCCUGAGGUGAUGAUCUUCUGGUGUUUCUCCCGAUAGGAAAAUUGAUUAUGGGAUUGAUUUUUUUUUGGACAUUCAUCCUAUUUCUAUCCCUCCCUAUAGAAUGGCUUCAGAUGAGUUGAAAGAACUCAAGAAGAAGUUGAAAGAUCUUCUAGAUAAGGGUUUUGUUUGCCCUAGUGUUUCUACUUGGGGUUCUUUAAUUCCUUUUGUGCGUAAGAAGGAUGGGUCCCUUCGAAUAUGUAUAGAUUACCUCCAGCUGAAUAAGGUGACGAUAAAGAAUAAGUAUCCACUUGCUAGAAUCAAUGACUUCAAUCAGAUUUAGGGUGCUAAGUGCUUCUCCAAGAUUGAUCUUCGAUCUGUUACCACCAGUUGAAGAUUAGGGAUAUGGAUAUCCCUAAGACUACCUUUCAAACUGAAUAUGGUUAUUUUGAGUUUUUGGUGAUGUCCUUUGGUUUGACUAAUGCCCCAACAAUAUUUAUGGACCUUAUUAAUCGAGUAUUCUGUUAGUUCUUGGAUUUGUUUGUUAUUAUUUUUAUAUAUGAUAUUUUAGUGUAUUUCAAAAGUGAGACAAAUCAUGUCGAUCACCUUCUCCUUGUAUUACAAACCUUGAAGGAUCAACGAUUGUAUGUGAAAUUCAUAAAGUGUGAAUUUUGUUGAAUAUUGUGACCUAUUUGGGUCAUUUUGUUUCUAGUAAAGGGAUCAUGGUGGAUCCACAGAAAGUUUCAGUAGUGAAGAAGUGGCUUAGACCCAUGACUCCAACCAACAUUUAGAGCUUCUUGGGUUUAGCCGGUUAUUGUAGGAGGUUUGUGGAAAUUUCUCUUUUAUUGCUACUUCAUUGACUAGUUAACUCAAAAGAAGGUGAAGUUAUUAUGGUCUAACACAUAUGAGGGUUGCUUCGAGAAGUUGAAGGAUAAGUUAACUUAAGUUUCGGUCUUGAAUCAACCUGAGGGCACUGAGGGUUUUAUUAUUUAUUGUGAUGCAUCUCUGGUGAGACUGGGUUGCGUGUUGAUGCAUCAUGGCAAGGUGGUUGUAUAUGCUUCUAGACAGUUAAAGGUUCAUGAGAAGAAAUAUCUAACUCAUGAUUUGGAGUUGUUAGCUGUUGUGUUUGCAUUGAAGAUAUGACGACAUUAUUUAUAUGGGGUCCAUGUAGAUAUUUAUUCUAAUAAUAAGAGCCUGCAAUACGUGUUCACUUAGAAAGAUAUAAAUCUCUGGAUAAAGAGGUGGCUUGAGUUGCUAAAGGACUAUGACAUGAGUCUCCACUAUCACCAGGUACAACUAACCCCAUUGCUGAUGCUCUUAGCAGGUUGUCCAUAGGGAGCUUAUCUCAUGUGGACAAGGAGAAAUGUGAUUUGGUGAUGGACAUUCACUGUUUGGCUAAUCUUGGAGUCUGUUUCAUAAAUUCUGAUGAUAGUGGUAUAAUUGUUCAAGGGUGGUGAAGUCAUCUCUUGGUGAGAAAGUAAAGGAGAAACAGGUUUUAAAUCCUAUAUUGAUUCAUAUCAAGGAUGAGCUAGGUUACCAAAAAGUGAUAGCUUUAGAGAUUGGUAGUGAUGGUAUCUUGAGGUACCAAGGUAGAUUAUAUGUUUCCAAUGUUAAUAGGUUGCGAGGAAGAAUUUUGGCAGAGACUCAUGAGUCACGUUAUAUGGUUCAUCCUGGUUUGAUGAAAAUGUAUCAUGAACUUCAAGAGAUUUAUUGGUGGAAUGAUAUAAAGCGGGAUGUGGCCAAUUUUGUGGCUAACUGUAUUAUGUGUCAGUAAGUAAAGGUUGAGCACUUAAGGCCCGGUAGUUUGAUUAAAGAGAUUGAGCUGCCGGUGUGGAAAUAAGAAAUAAUUAAUAUGGAUUUUGUUACCAGCCUUCUAUGGUCUAGCCAACAACUUGAUUAGAUUUGGAUCAUUGUGGAUAAGAUGACCAAGUUUGUGCACUUCUUGCUAGUAAGGAAUAAUUUCUCUUAUGAGGAUUAUGCUAAGCUUUUAAUUGAGGAGAUAGUGAAGUUGUUUAUUGCUCUAGUUACUAUAAUUUCCAGUCAUGGUACCCAGUUCUCAUCUCACUUUUGGAGGUCAUUCUAGCGAGGUUUGGGGACUAAGGUAACCCUUAGUACUGCUUUUUAGCUGCAGAUGAAUGGGAAAAUGGAAAGGACAAUUCAGGCCUUAGAAGAUAUGCUUAGGGCUUGUGUAUUUAAUUUUGGUGGUAGUUGGGUUGAUCAUUUUCCUCUCAUAGAGUUUGCAUAUAAUAACAGUUAUCACUUUAGCAUUGGUAUGUCUCCAUUUAAGGCUUUGUAUGGUAGGAGGUAUAGGUUUUCUAUUGGGUGGUUUGUGAAACACUCUAGAUUUUGACCCUUAAAAAAUUUCUUGAGUUUGAGCUUCUGGACAUCAUACGACUUGAGGGUACUUUUUUGGAUGAUGUGCGUAUGAUUUAAGGUCCUCAACUCAUAUGAUAAUUAGUGUGGUUUGGUUAGUUUCUGUCUAAGGUACGAAUGGACAUCAUACUAGUCGUAUGUUAGGGUACGUAAAGUAUAAUGCCUAACCGUAUGAUAUCCUAUAUCUAUCCUUAAUGAUUCAACCUAAGGUAUAGUUUAAGGGUACCAAUCGUAUGCUAUGGAUAUGAUUUGGCCCUUAUGGUCAUAUAUUGGACAGUGUUGAAGUCCAAGUAGGUACGAGUGGUGGGUACUACUAGUAUGUUGUGGGUACGGUUUGGGAGGUGUGGUCGUACCCUCUUGCACUUAUUUUUUAUCUUUUAAGAUAAGGACAUCUUAGACAUUUCCCGCUCCCCAAACCGUUAAUACCCACAUCUUAUAACAUUAAUUGGUCCCUCAUUCUUCACUUGGAAAGAUCAAAACAUUCCUAAAACUUUCUCUAAACUCUCUCAAGAAGAUUGUGCUAGGAUUUUCUUUAAGUGUUAACCUAGAGGCUUAAAAACCUAAUCCUCUCCAUGAAUCUUUGUAAAUAAGGCAUGCUACUCUUCCCUCAUUGUUAGUUCAAACUAAAACUAUGUUUUACUUAAUGGUUUCAUGGCAUAAUUAUGGGUUUGUGUUGAUUUUGAAAUAUAUGUUGGGGGUUGUGGUUAUUAAUGGUUGGAUGAUGUUUUCCUAUAAUCUAUUUAUGGUUUUUUUCAUAUUGUAGUGUUGGUUUGAACAUGUUGUUCCAUGGGAAUGGUUAAUUGGUUCUUGAUUUUGGUUUUAGAAAUAUAUGCCCUCAACGCGCUUGUUAAAAUGCCUAAGAGAAUAGUUUUGUCACAUAGUUUGACUUUUAUUGAAAACCUUGCAUUCCAUAAUAUAGUAAUUGAACCUAAAUUGGUUUUGUUGGUUUUAAAUGGUUGGGAAAGGCCUUGGUAGCAAUAGAACCUAGAUUGAUUGUUUUGGAAUGGAAGUUGGCAAUAAACUCAACCCACUUGCAUAAUUGUUUUUGGUUUGGUUUGUUUCUUUAGACUAAUGCAUAUCAUAAAUGGUUAAUUUGUUAAAGAUAGUUUUGAAAACCUUGUAGGGUACAUGAGAAUCCCCCAAGUGAUUUUAAUAAUAGGGUAUGUGAGGUACAUGGGAAUCCCUUAAGUGUUGGCUAAUGACAUUGCUUGCAAGCUAUAGUCGGUAUGACGAUACCACUUUUUAAUGCCUUAAUAAUUGACUCCUAGAAUCAGUGGUUUGAUUAUGUGUUAAAUGUUUUAAUUAGGCAAUAAUAACGGGUUGUGAUAGCUAGCCAUGAAGGUGUGAGUCUGAAAGGUUGACACUGGAAACUCAUAUUUACUAACAUGAGGAUUAGUCUUGAUGACCACGUACUUGUGGGGUAUAAGGGAAUCCCCAAAGUACAUAUACAUAUAUAUGCAUCACAGAGGGCUAAAGGUACAACAGAAUCCCCUACCUCUAUGAUAUCUCCAGUUCAUGCAGCUACACGUAAUGGGGCCCAUCCAGGGGGUAACACUGGGCCCAUAUAGAUCGUGGGUGGAUUAUAAUGGUAAAGCCACACGACCCAGGUAAUGGUUUCAAAUACAUGCUGAAUCCAAUUUCUUUUCCCAGCAUGAUAUAUAUAUAUGUAUGUAUGUGAUUGUAAAUGGUUAUUUACUUUAGUUUUGACUAAUGACAUUAUUUUAUCCUUACUUCUAAGUAUAUGCUAGUGUUCAUCCGCUAACCUAUCUUCAGGCGCUGUAUCCCCAUGCGAUGCAAGAAUAGGCCAUACUAUCACACCUUCUUCUUAGUGACUUGGUGAUUCAGGGACAACUUGAGUCAGAUUGAAGUGGUGUUCUUUCAUUCUUCGGAAGGCCUAUUUCAUGUUAUACUUUACCUUAUGCUUUUACUAUUCUCUUGAUAUUUGUUUUUGGCUAUGGUUGGGGUCAUGCCCCGACUAAAUAUUCUUGGUCAUUGUUUAGAGGCUUCGUAUGAACAAUUAUGAACUUGGGUAUGAAAUGGAUAUGGUUUUGGUUAUUUUUAGGUUUGGGUCGCUAUUAGUUUAUUUGACUUGGUUGGGUUGGUCUUAGUUAUAGACCUAUCCUACAAUCAUUACAUUUUAAAUUACUCUAUCAAGGUAUAUGUUGGUUUGUUUGGGUAUUGGGGGUGGUCUCCGGUCUUUGUUGGAUUUGAGAUGCCCAUUACGAUAAGGCCCUGAUUUGAGUCGUGUCAAGUUAGUAUUAGAGCCUAGGUUUUAGUGUCAUGGGCUAUCCACAAAGCCAUAUCGAGUAGAGUUUUUUUUAUGGGUUUGUAGCACACCAUACUUAUAAGGGAGAGGCUACGACAUAUUUAGGAAUGUUUCACUUUCUUGUUAUUCUAUUUUUGGGCUACAGAGUUUAGGGUCUUGAACUCUCUCCUAGAUUUUCUUUUGUUCGCCUCUCAGAUCAUGCCUUUUCGAUGAUCUAAAACUCAUGGAACUUACCCAUCCUACCCAAGGAUAAUGUGGAUGGAUCUCGUUCAACUCAUGGGGUAAAGACUUGGUCAAGGGUCAUUGCUUUUGAUUUUUCUCGUGAUGUUCCACCACUCUUCACUGACCCUGCUUUGGAAGGUGACACUCAUGGUCAGUCAUCUCAAGAAGAUGUUGCCAAUGCCGAGUUUUGAUAUUUUAUUCAUUUGUUAAUCUAGAUAGUGGCAUAUCUAUCACGCCAGUCUGGUACUAUUGGUAUGAGAAAAAAUAAGGCAAGGCCGAGAAAUAGGUAGAGUAAGAAGUCUAAAUAUUCAAAUCGAGGGAGGGGUCAGAAAAAUAGUGGUAAAAGUGGUGGACAGUGGUUUGAGCAAGGGAAUCUGGGGAGUUCUCAUGUGAUUGUUAGUGUCCUCUAUCCUCAGUCUUCUGGUGAAUAUCAUUUUCAGGCUGGUGGAGUUCGAUCAACCCUACCCUAUCCCUCUUACUAAUUUUAUGGUCUGUUAUACCCCGAUUAUUGCUAUAAAGAGAGGAAUUAGUGUUUUAGUUGUGGUCAGUUGGGUCACAUGCAAUGGGAGUGUCCCACAAGGAUUGCCACUAGGGUAAAUAGGAUACUGAUUGCCACUUUUGUAUCUCCUACACCAAGAGGUGCUACUGCUCUUCCUGAUGAUCUCAUUAUCCCUUGGAGUUCGAGGCAUCACUGAUGUCAUUACUGGUAUUUUGAAACUCUUUUCUCAUGAUGUGUACUGUUUACUUGAUCCAGGGUCCACUCUCUCUUAUGUGACCCUUUCUAUGGCUGUGUAUAUUGGUUUUGAUCCCAAGUAUAUUUUGAACCCCUUUUCUAUUUCUACCCCAGUAGAUGACUCUGUGAUUUUUCGAAAGUCUAUAGAGGGUGUGUGUUAUCUAUCGGUGGUAAAGAAACUGUGAUGGAUCUAUUUGAAUUAGAUGUGGUUGAUUUAAUAUCAUAUUGGGGAUGGAUUGGUUGCACUUGUACUAUGCGUCUCUAGACUAUUGGACCUGUAAUGUCAUCUUUAAAUCCCUAGCAAACUGGUUAUAAAGCGGGAGGGUGGUUCUAUAGUUCCUAAGAAGAGGUUUAUAUCAUAUCUUAAAGUUCAGAGAUUGAUCUCCAAGGGGUGUAUCUAUUAUUUGAUCUAGGUUAAAGGUUCUUAUAUUCCAUCCUAGUAGUGAGUGAAUUUCCUGAUAUCUUUCUUAAUGAUCUUCCUUGUAUCCCACCCAAUGGGGAAACUAAUUUUGGGAUUGAUCUACCUUCGAACACUCAUUCAUUCCCUAUCUCUCUUUAUAGAAUGACUCUUCUUAAGUUAAACAAGCUUAUAAAAUAGUUGGAGUAUCCUUUGAGAAGGGUUUGUUUACCUUAGUGUUUCUCCGUGGGGUGUUUUCGUUCUUUUAUGCAUAAGUGAGGAUGGUUACCUCUGGGUAUGUAUAGGUUAUUGACAGGCGAAUAAGUAAUACAGGGUGACCUUCUAUAUUUUGCGGAGGGUACUCAGUAGGUAGUGCAUGAUGGUUGAUAGAACUAAGUUUGAACCUUAGAUGUUGAUUUUGGUGAAGGGAGUAUAUUAGCUUGAAAAUUUCUAGGUGAGAGUUAUGGGGGUAUAUUGGUAGGCUUGGUGGGGUGUUUGGAGGAGGCGAGGUUGAUUACUUAGGGGAUACAAGAGUAGGAAAGUUGUAACAUAAAGGCCGGAGGUCCAGGUUUAACUGAUGGAUUGGGGCUAAGUCAUUAAAUAGGUUAGUACAUGGGGUUUGUGGGACUAUGCUGGACCCCAGGUAGAAUCUGGAUAGAUGAGGUUUUAGGUGUAAAAGAGACAAGUGCCCCUAGAACAUGUCCGUAGUAAUACCCCUUAGAGCAGAGUGUUGUGCUUAUUGGUGUAGUAAUAUGGAGAUCGAAGGGUUAACCUAAAAUUUAUGCCUGUGGUGGACUUCAAUGGGAAAGUUGGGGUGAAUUUACUCCUAUUCUAGAGAUUCUCUCCUAUUUUGAUUAAGAGGGCACUUUUUUAGUAUUUCACACAUUCUAAUAGUGCUUAUGCCUAAGGUCUACAUUUUAUGUGUCGCGUAUGUCCAUACUCCAGCCCCUGAAUCAAAGGCAAUAAUAGUCCUCAGAAAUUCAAGUUUUUAGGUGUUGAAGCUUUAUGCCAUGAUACUCAUGAUUUGUAUAUUCAUGUCUUACGUCAUGCUUCGUUUCAAGAAAUAAUAGUUUCAAGGGAAAAUCCUUUCUUUGUUCCCUGAAUAUGAAUCUCGGCUUUAUGUUACAUUUUCUAUGAUAUAUGUAGUUCUGUUUCUUCCAAUGCCCAUCCUAAGGACUCGUAUUACGGUGUAUAUAUUUUGGAGUAAUCCUUUAUUUAUAACCUGAGUGGUUUCUUUAGAGUACCUCAUACCUAUAUCACCGUAUCUCAUUUCUCAAGUCUCGCCUUGAGUAGUAAGACAAAUAGAAGUUGCAAUUGAGAAGAACCACCCCUCGUUCUUGAUGCUUAUACUCUAGAUCCUCAGUAACCUUUCUUAUGUUUGGGUGGUUUCACCUUAGAAGCGUAGUGAUGUUUUGGAAGAGAGAGUAAAUGUCCUUUGUCGUGAAAUUCUAGGGUGACUACUUGAGCUAAGGUUAUGAGUGUAAAUGGAAGAAUGAGAUGAAUAUUGUCAUACAAAAUAGUUGCGGAUGAGAGUCGUGGUGAAAACCUUUAUGAUGUAACUAAGGGUGUUAUUUUUGGUAAGGAAAUCCAUACAAUGGGUGUAGUAAGAUAGGCUGGAGCGUGGUUAUUAGUAGGUACCCGACCAUUAUGUUAUGCGGCAAAAGCUCCUUAAUUAAGACCUGAGGUGUGUUAAUAGUAGUGAUAGAUAGGGUGGCAUUAUCGGAAUGGUGUAAAGUAUGGGGUCCCAUGGCUUCCACUAGCACCUUUAACUCCCAAUUAGUCUUUAACAUGGGAUGGAUAUACUGUUAUGCUUAAGUCCUCUAGUUAUGUAUAUAUGAGGGGAGUUGAGAGGUUGAAAAUGGAGGAGUGUUUUCUUCAUGUUGAAAGUUUGGUGGAUGGUGUGUCCGUAUUAAGGGGAUAUUAGAUUAGAUGCAUGCGUUAUGAAGGAAGAGGCUACUUGGGAAGUGGUAGAGGACAUGAAGUUCAAGUAUGCAUAUUUUCUCUCCAUUUUGGAUAAUCGUGCUUAAAAUGUGUAUUUAUUCUUAAUAUCUCCAUUGUCUGUACGAUUAAAGAAAAUAGUGAUUCCUUAAUGUCUUUGUUUUUCUAACUUCAUUAAAGGGGAGUUUAAUAGGCAGUAUUAUGUUGAAACCGUGCUUAUGCUUACCUUUACCCAUCAUUCGAGGAUGAAUGAUCCUAGUGGGGGAGACUAAAACACCCUGGAUUUUGACCCUUAGAAAAUUUCUUGAAUUCGAGCUUCUUGACAUUAUACGACUUAAAGGUACUUGUCGUAUGAUAUGGGUAUAGUUUAGGGUCCUCAACUCAUAUGAUAAUCAGUGUGGUUUGGUUGGUUUCUGUCCAAGGUACGAAUGGACAUCAUACUAGUCGUAUGUCAGGGUACGAGAAGUAUAGCGCCAAACCGUAUGAUGCCGUAUGUUUAGCCUAGAUGAUUCAGCCUAGGGUAUGAUUUAAGGGUACCAAUCGUAUGUUAUGGAUACGAGUUGGCCCUUGUGGUUGUAUGUUGGACAAUGUUGAAGUCCAAGUUGCUGCCAAGGGUACGAGUGGUAGGUACCACACGUAUGCUGUGGGUACAGUUUGGGUGGUGUGGUCAUACCCUCAUGCUCUCAUUUUUCAGCUUUUAAGUAGAGGCCAUUUUAGAUAUUUCCCACCCCCAAAACCCUUAAUACCCUCGUCCUAUAACAUUAAUUGUUCCCUCAUUCUUCACUUGGAAAGAUCAAAAUACUCCUAAAAUUUCUCUAUAUUCUCUCAAGAUGAUUGGGCUAGGGUUUUCUUCAAGUGUUCAUCUAAAGGCUUAAAGAUCGAAUUCUCUUUGUGAAUCUUCGUAAAUAAGGCAUGUUACUCUUCCCUCAUUGUUAUUUCAAACUAAAAGCAUGUUUUUCUUAAUGGUUUUCAUGGCAUAUUUGUGGGUUUGUUGGUUUUGAAAUAUAUGUUGGGGGUUUUGGUUACUAAUGGUUGGAUGAUGUUUUUGCAUGUUCUAUUUAUGGUUUUUUUUCAUGUUAUAAUGUUGGUUUGAACAUGUGGUUGCAUGGUAAUCAUUAAUUGGUUCUUGUUUUUUUUUUUUGGAAACUAUAUGCCCUCAACAUGUUUGUUAAAAUGCCUAUGAGAAUAGUUUUGUCACAUAGUUUGACUUUUAUUGAAAACCUUGCAUUUCAUAGUAUAGUAAUGGAACCUAAAUUGGUUUGGCUGGUUUUAAAUGGUUGGGGAAGGCCUUGGUGGCCACAGAACCCAAAUUGAUUAUUUUAGAAUGGAAAUUGGCAAUAAACUCAAUCCAUCUUUAUAAUUAUUUUUGGUUUAUGCAUUACUACUUGGUUUGUUUGUUUAUUGAGACUAAUGCAUGGCAUAAAUGGUUAAUUUGUUAAGGAUGGUUUUAAAAACCUUUUGGGGUACACGGGAAUCCCCCAAGCGAACUUAUAAUGAAAACCUUGUGGGGUACACGAGAAUCCCCAAGUAAUUUUAGUAAUGGGGUCUGCGGGUACCUGGGUUUCCCUUAAGUAUUGGCUAAUAACAUUGCUUGCAAGCUAUAGUCGGUAUGACGACACAAAUUUAUAAUGCCUUAAUAAUUGACUCUUGGAAUCGGUGGUUUGGUUAUGCAUUAAAUAUUUUAAUUGGGCAAUAAUAGCGGAUUUUGAUAGCUACCCAUGAAGGUGUGAGUCCGAAAGGUUGACACUGGAAUCUCAUGUUUGCCAACAUGAUGAUUAGUCUUGAUAACCACACACUUCUGGGGUACAAGGGAAUCCCCAAGUACAUACACGUACAUAUGUAUCAUAGAGGACGACGGGUACAAGGGAAUCCCCUACCCCUAUAAUAUCUCCAGUUCAUAUGGCUACAUGCACUGGGGGCCAUCUAGGGGAUAACACUAGACCCAUAUAACCCGUGGGUAUAUUAUGACGAUAAAGCUACGCAUCCUAGGUAAUGGUUUAAAAUGCAUGCUAAACUUUGUUCAUUUUCCUAGCUUUAUAUAUAUAUAUGUAUGUAUGUGAUUUUUAUAUGGUUAUUUACUUUAGUUUUGAAUAAUGGCAUUAUUUUAUCCUUACUCCUGAGUACAUGCUAGUAUUCACCCGCUAACCCAUCUUCGGCCACUGUAUCCUAUGUGAUGUAGGAAUCGGCCAUACUAUCAUAUCUCCUGCUCAGUGACUUGGUGAUUCAGGGACAACUUGAGUCAAACUGAAGUGGUGAGCUUUUAUUCUUCGAAAGGCCCAUUUCAUAUUAUGGUUUACCUUAUGAUUUACUAUUUUCUUGACAUCUGUUUUAUGCUAUGGUCGGGGGCAUGUCCUGACUAGAUAUUCUUGGUCAUUAUUUAGAGGCUUUGUAUGGACAAUUAUGGACUUGGGUAUGGAAUGGAUAUGGUUUUAGUUAUUAUUGGGUUUGGGUUUCUAUUGGUUGAUUUGACUUGGUUGGGUUGGUUUCGGUUAUAAGCCUAUCCCAAAGUCAUUACAUUUUGAAUUACUCUAUAUUAUUGUAUGUUCGGAAUUCAUCCAAUAUGUUGGUUGGUUGGUUUGGGUAUCAGGAGUGGUCUCUGGUCUUUGUUGGACUUGAGAUACCCAUUAUGACAAGGCCCUAGUUCGGGUUGUGUCGACACAAAUUUAUAAUGCCUUAAUAAUUGACUCUUGGAAUCGGUGGUUUGGUUAUGCAUUAAAUAUUUUAAUUGGGCAAUAAUAGCGGAUUUUGAUAGCUACCCAUGAAGGUGUGAGUCCGAAAGGUUGACACUGGAAUCUCAUGUUUGCCAACAUGAUGAUUAGUCUUGAUAACCACACACUUCUGGGGUACAAGGGAAUCCCCAAGUACAUACACGUACAUAUGUAUCAUAGAGGACGACGGGUACAAGGGAAUCCCCUACCCCUAUAAUAUCUCCAGUUCAUAUGGCUACAUGCACUGGGGGCCAUCUAGGGGAUAACACUAGACCCAUAUAACCCGUGGGUAUAUUAUGACGAUAAAGCUACGCAUCCUAGGUAAUGGUUUAAAAUGCAUGCUAAACUUUGUUCAUUUUCCUAGCUUUAUAUAUAUAUAUGUAUGUAUGUGAUUUUUAUAUGGUUAUUUACUUUAGUUUUGAAUAAUGGCAUUAUUUUAUCCUUACUCCUGAGUACAUGCUAGUAUUCACCCGCUAACCCAUCUUCGGCCACUGUAUCCUAUGUGAUGUAGGAAUCGGCCAUACUAUCAUAUCUCCUGCUCAGUGACUUGGUGAUUCAGGGACAACUUGAGUCAAACUGAAGUGGUGAGCUUUUAUUCUUCGAAAGGCCCAUUUCAUAUUAUGGUUUACCUUAUGAUUUACUAUUUUCUUGACAUCUGUUUUAUGCUAUGGUCGGGGGCAUGUCCUGACUAGAUAUUCUUGGUCAUUAUUUAGAGGCUUUGUAUGGACAAUUAUGGACUUGGGUAUGGAAUGGAUAUGGUUUUAGUUAUUAUUGGGUUUGGGUUUCUAUUGGUUGAUUUGACUUGGUUGGGUUGGUUUCGGUUAUAAGCCUAUCCCAAAGUCAUUACAUUUUGAAUUACUCUAUAUUAUUGUAUGUUCGGAAUUCAUCCAAUAUGUUGGUUGGUUGGUUUGGGUAUCAGGAGUGGUCUCUGGUCUUUGUUGGACUUGAGAUACCCAUUAUGACAAGGCCCUAGUUCGGGUUGUGUAAGUUUGAGGUUGGUAAAAAUAGGUUUUUCGGCUGUGAUUUGGUUCACUAAGCCAUGGAGAAGGUGAAUGUGAUUCAGGAAAGUCUUAAGACCACCCAAAGUUACCAAAAGUCCUAUGAGGAUGUAAGAUGGAGGAAGUUGGAGUUUCGUAUUUGUGACUAGGUGUUCUUAAAGGUUUCUCCCAUGAAGGGCGUGAUGCAGUUUGGGAAGAAGUUGAAGAUUAGUCCCCAUUAUGUUGGUUCAUAUUUGGUUUUUAAGAGGGUUGGAAAUGUUGAAUAUGAAUUGGAAUUUACUUUUAGAUUGAGCUCCAUUCAUCCGGUCUUCCAUGUUAUGAUAUUGAGAAAGUGCGUGGGUGAUCCUUCAUUGGGUGUUCCUUUAGAAGGUGUGGGCAUUUCGAAUUGCUUGUCUUAUAAGGAAGUUCUGGUUAAGAUCUUGGAUCGGCAAGUCCGUCGAUUACAGAUGAUGGAUGUGGCUUUGGUAAAGGUUCUUUUGAGGAACCAAAUGUUUGAGGAAGCUACAUGGGAAGCCGAGGAGGACAUGAAGUCCAAGUAUCCAUUCCUAUUUCCUAUUUUAGAAAAUCAUGCUUAAAGUAUGUGUCUGAUCUUAACUUCUUUAUUUUCUAUUUUUGGUAAAAGUAAGUGUGGGAGUGUUUCUGCAUUAAAUCAUGCUAACAUUUGCCUAGGCCCAUCAUUUGAGGAUGAAUGCUCCGGGGGGGGGGGGGAAUGUAACACCCCAGAUUUUGGUCCUUUAAAAUUUCUAAAAUUUUAUCCUCAAUGUCCUGACUACGACUCACCCUACAAGUCGUAGGGUGUCUUGACGGGUCAUAUGACCCUAAUCGUAAGGUGUCCAUCAAAUGAUGCUUGAGUUUUUAUCCUGAGUAUGACUUAGGGACACGAGAUGAAAAGACCUAUGACGAGUCGUUGGACUCAAAUCAUAGCCUAAAUAGUAUGUGUGUGUGGGUAAGUUCAUCUCUUAGUACGAGUGGCUCACUACGAGUUGUGAGAACUCAUUACGAGUCAUUUUGUGCAAAUCGCAGGACAUCCUGUGUUUACCCCAAUUAAUUUCUGUGUUAACUAUGAUUGAACCCCUUGAUUCGUAGGGUCCCAUUACGAGCCAUGGUAUACGAGUCGUAAGGCCAACAAUUUCUGUGCAUGGUGAGACUGUAUUGAUAAUGACUCAUGGAGAUAAGUCGUAAUGAGACGUGAUGAGUCGUUAUGAGAACCGUAACGACUAGCGAUUUAUUUUUCUAGCUUUUUAAAUGGGGGUAUUUUAGACAAUUGCCCCUUAUCCCAAUAAUAACCCACGAUUUAUAAACAUACUUGUGGCCCUAUUCUCAUUGAUAACUCACUCCAAACAUUCUUUCUUCUUAUUCAAGUAUCUCAAGCAUUCAUACCUAGGGUUUUUAAGAAGUAGGUCAUCCAAGGUUGGAUUCUCUCCAUAAUCUUGGGUAUUUUGGGCAUCUUACUCUUCCCUAAUUGCUAAUUUGUUAAAAGCAUAUGUUUUAAAGUAUUGUUCAUAUUGGUGAUGGUUUUGAAACAUGGGUUGAGGGGUUUCGAAUGUUUGCUUUUGAACAAUGUUUCCCAUGGUUUACUUAUGAUUGUUCAUGCUUUAUUCAUGGUUUUGAAUUUAUGGGGUGUAACGCCCCGAAAUCUAAUUCCCGGGAUGCCAUAGGUGCUCCAAACUACCAGAGUACUGAGCUAACCCUGACUGCUUUCUACUAAAUCUGAAUCUCAAAAUAGGGGAAAAUAGAUUGAAAACAUAAUAAAUGCGGAAAUCUUAUCUGAAGCAUACUAAUCUCACAAGUCUUGGUAAAACAAUACUAAAAAAUUUGGAUACGGAAUCAAAAGUCUAAACUGAAUCUGGUAGUCCGAUAAGCCUCUACUGUCUGAAUCUAGAGGUCACUGGACAGGCCACAGCUGACUGAAACUGUCUGAAAUGAUUACUAAAUCAUCUACUAGAUAAAAAGGAAAUCUGAAUAGCUAAGUACUCAAACUAUGAGGGCUCACCAACUGCAGAGAUAUAGAUGAAAUGCUUGAAAAUCACUCACGCUGCUGAGACUGAGCACCUGAACCUACAUUAUAAGACAAUGUAGCACAUAGAUGUAUAUGUGGAUCAGUACUUUGAUGAUGUACUAAGUAUAUAGGGGUGAAUUCAAUAAGUAAACAAUACCAUCAUAAUUUAUAAAAUCAUGCAUGCUAAAUAUAAAUGACUCACAUAGGCUUGAGUAAUCUAAAAUCUGAAGAUCAUAAAUCAUGAACAAUAAAGCAUAUAAUAUGAAUCUUGUUAGCCAUUACAUUCAAUUCUAAAACCUGUUCUUUUCUUAAAACUACCACAUUAUCUUGUCAACUGUAAGGGGAAUACUUAAUCUCAAGACUUUAAGAAAUCUUAAAAUCCAUAGCUUUUAAAACAUAUACUUUUAUCUUAAGGCUUUCAACCAAUAGAUUGUUUUAAGAGUAGAGGACUUCUUUUGGGAGGUUCUUCUAAUCGACAUAAACCAUGUGAGAAUUCAUGGAGUCCAAUGUCUUACCCACAUUGGAGAGAGCUAUUUUCACGCCCCAAAACUAUGUGAUACCUUGGUAACAUACCCAUCUUGGUGCUAAAUACUACUCCCAUUCUUAUGCUCAGGAUCUUAAGAAAUCUACUUCAAAAAAAUUGCAUAAGGGUUUACUAGAAAAAUCAUUUAUGCUUUUCUUUCUUUUAAUCUCAAGUCAUAUGAACAAUGUGGAUUCUUUAUCUUAGCUUAGGACCAAAUGGUCAAAUCUUUAUCAAAAAUCUAAGAAUAAUCUUAUCAUAGGGUGCUUAUGGCACAAACAAUCUUGAAAUAACAAUCUUUAAUUAGGGCUUAAUGACCCAUGCUUCAAACUCAUGUAAAAUCAUAGCAAACAUCAUGCUCAAUAUGCUUCUUAAAAUACGAAAACAAUAUCAAAAUAAUAAAAUGAAGAAUUUCAAUAUCAUGCUUAAACUCAAUUGAGAAAAUCUGAAAAAACACAUUAUCCACAUAAUUAUAUGAAAAUAGUCAUGCAAUUCAACAAUCACUUGAAAUCUCAUAAACUUGUAAAUAACAAUACUGAGUAUAAACCCUAACUUGAAUUUCAUGGGAAAUCAUAUAAAAUUCAGUAAAAUUGGAACUAAAAUAAGUUUUGGGCACAAGGACGAAAGGAUUGUCCUUGUUCAAAACCCCACAUACCCCAAUUGAUGAUCUUAGAUGCUAAAACUUGAAUCUUGGAUCUCUAUUGAUGCUUUGGAGAUGAAUUCUUAGUGUUCUUGAGUUGGGGAUUCUAAAUCUUGAAUUAGCUUGGAGAAUUAAUGGAGAAAUUGGGUUUCUUGGAGAAGGAGCUUUGAUGAUCUAGGGGUUUCUUUUGGAUGAAAUAAGCUUAAAGUGCUUUGGAAUACUUUAAAUCUUGUGUUUUGGACAGAUUGGGGACUUGGGAAUUGACCAAAAUACCUCCUAUAAGCUUUUAAACGAAACUGAAAAAUGUAAUAUUUUCCAAACGGGGUGGCCACCGCUAUGCGCCGCUAUCUCAGUGGCUUACUGGAAGUGGAUGAAUAGGAACUAGUCUUUUACCGCGAUAUGCCACAAUCACGGUGCCCUUUAGUUUGCCAUUUGGCCACUGGUGCGACAUGCUAGUAUCAUGAAGGCUCACUGGAAACUGACAAAUGGGAAAUUAGCCCUCUUUGCGAUGCGCCAAUAUCGUGAAGGUCUACUGGUAUUUGACAAUUAUGAAUUUUUCCUUUUCCGCGACGCGCCAAGUGCCCAGGUGACACAGUGUCAACUUAAAAAUGCCACAACUCCUUCACCAAGUGUCAGAUUUGGGAAAAUCUUAUAUCGAUGGAAAGCUUAUUCAAUUUACCAUAUAAUGGGAAGUCUAAAUCUGAAAAAUUCCACAUAUAAUAAAUAUUUUUUAUUUUUGAAGCUAUCUCUUAAUGUAUUAGGAGCGAAUUUAAGCUAAGAAAGUUUGGGGUAUUAUAUGGGGUGCCUGGGUAUGGUGAAUAAACUAGGGGAUUGUGAUUUUUCGAAUUUGUGAAUAUUGACCAUUAAAGUGGUAAUGACAAUUGGUUUUGAACGUGGAAAAUAUGAAUAUUGAACUCUUGAACUAAUGUAUAAUGUGAAAAGUCAAUGAAGCAUAAUGAUUUUUACUUGAACAUUAUGGGGUUGUGUAAUUCCCCAAGCUAAUGCAUAAUUGAACCAAGGGGGCUAUGAAUUCCCCUAAAUAAUGAAAGUUUUUCUGUAUGUUAAUGUUACCUUGCAAGUGUAAUUGGUAUGACAAUACCAACAAUGUAUUCCUGAAUGUGUAUCAUGGUUCAAUGAAUGUAAACAUGUGAUAAAUACUUUGAUUAGGAUUUAAUGAGGGCUAUGUAGUUGAGUUCCCGAGGGACCAAUACUGGACACUGCGGUUGCCAAAGUGAGGGUCUAAAUGAUCGUGUGGUUUGAGUCCCACAUCUUAUAUUACAUAAUUGGGUUCUUGCAUAACCUUGAUAUGCCGGGAGGUUCGAGUCCCCUAUAGUGUAUAUGUAUACUCUCUGGUUCAUGCGGUCACACACACUGGUGUCCUUUUAUCUAGGGGAGAGUUGGGCCCAUACAACCCGUGGUGCCUUCUUAUGUUAUGAUGGUUGAGCUACACAAUCCAAGCUAAAGUUUUAAAGUGCAUGUUAAGCCUCAUUCCCUAUCCUGACAUGUGAUAUAUAUGUGUAUAUGCAUUUGAUUGUGUGCAUUGGAUUUGAAUAAUUUCGAACUGCUAAUCAUGACAUUAUGUUAUCCUUAUUCCUAAGUUACAUGCUAGUGCUUAACCCACUAUCUUCUGAUGCUGUAUCCCCACCCAAUGCAGGCACUACAGAUACCUCUACUUUCCCCGCAUAGAGUUAGGUGGACCGGGUAGAUUCGUCGGUUCAUUGUGGUGAAGUGGCAAGCUUCUAUUAUUUGGAAGACUUAGACAUUUCAUCAGUUCUUAUCAUAGAUUAGGAUUAAGAUUUUUCAUUAUCAUUAAUAUUAUCAUUGUCAUUGUCAGGGUUGGGGAUAUGUCCCAACCAAGAUUGGUUUUUGGUUAUUUUUGUAUAGAGGCUUUAUUGGAUUACUGUGGACUUGGUAAUAUUAGUUGGAUGCGUUUGGUUGGUUACUGGUUAUCGGUUAUAGACAUAUCUUUUAUUCUUUAAACUUAUCUUGUGCUAUCUCGUUAAAUGUUUAGAAUUCAGUCAUUGUUGGGUGGUAUAUAGUAUUUGGUUAGGUUUAGGUGGUGUUCUCCAGUCAACAGUGGAUUGGACAUGCCCGUAAUGUCCAGUCCCUGGUUCAAGUCUGUAACACCCCAAAAUAUCAUCUCGAGAUGCCACAUGGUGCCCAAGGCUACACGUAGCCCCAAGCUAACCCUUUAAGACAAAACAUUACCCUUGGUUUCCAACACAACAACAUACACGCUACUCUAAGGAUAUAUAUAUAAGUACAUAUCAUAUCACAUCGCACAUGACAUGGAAUAUCAUUAGACUGUACAUAUAUGGAAUGUCUAUACACAAACCAACCCAACAAUACACUAGUAUGACAUAGCCUCUAUACAGCAAAAUCAACGAGCCAUUGGGACAAACCCCCAACUGACUCAAUAGACCAAAGGGAUCACAAAACAACAGCACCAAAACUAGCAACUUGGUCCUCGAACCAUGAGGACUUACCACUGAAGGAACAAAGAUGCGGCACUCGGAUAUCACUGUCGCGGCUACGGCUGAGUACCUAAACCUACAUCAUGGUAAGAAUGUAGCCCAUAGAGAAAUAUGUGGGUCAACACAAGAUACGUACUGAGUAUGUGGGGGUGCAUGCAAAAUAUAAAUAAUAUCAUAAAUUUCGUAAAAACGUACAUACAAACCAUAAUGACACACCUGGUUUGAGUGACAUUGAAUCAUGCAACUCAUAACAUCUUAGAUAGGAAGUGUAGGAGAAAAACCUCAUAAAUCAUUAUAGAUCAUCAUAGGAAACUUGACUUACCACAUCAAAACUCGGAGUGACUCGGUAUUUUAAUAAACAUGACUCUAUGGAUAGGGGAGUUUCCUAUAACCGACAACCCUAUGUGAGCUACGUGGAAUACCAACAUUUGAAACCCCCAUUGGUGGGAGCAUCAUACUCUUUGCCAGGGAGUACGACCUUAAAACUGCAAUAAUCACAAUCGGGAUCUUUGGCCAAUAAUAUCAUCAUCAAACAACCCUACGGUGGCACAUAGGUUUGGGGAAAUACCAAAUUCCCUCUCCAUGCUAAGUAAUACUCCCCGAUAAGCUCAGAACGCGUUAGGAAAUCCACCACAACAUCACAAGGGUCUAUCAUAAAGACCAAAUCAAAUCUCUUUCUCAUUUAUCAAAUCAUAUCAAUUUGUGGAUUCUUAACUCAACACAUUUUAGGUCAAAACAUUUUAAUCUUCCUUAACAUCAACAAGGUAUCAAUGUAUUGAACCGUAACCCACUCGAUAUUUGGAAAAGGAUAUGAAGACUCCAUACAUAAUAUUUUUAAUAAUUUAACUCAUCAAAACCAUCUGAAAAAUACCAAGACUCAUUGUAACUUCAAUAUCAACAUUUCUCAAUUUGCCAUCCAACUCUCAUUUAAAGGUACUUGAGACAUCAACCCAUAGUAGGGAUAUAGAAUUUCCAAUAUCAAUUAUAAAUUCAUAAUAACGAAAUAGUGGAAUGAUAGUAUAAAUCAAGGCUUAACAAAUUAAAUCAUCAUACUCUCAUAAUCAAAUACUUUUUGGACAUAAUUCCAUCUCAACAUCAUACACAUAUCGGAUGACAUAAUCCCAUAGCUCAUGGACAAUAAUAUAAGAUAUAAAACUAUAUUUCCAAUUCAUGGUAAAACAUGUAAAAUCUCAUGUCAAUGUAAUUCAACAAAAAUACCGGGCACAAGAUCAAAAGGAUAAUCUUGUUCAAAGCCCCACAUACCUAAAAAUGGAAGAUGAAUAUGAACUUUCGACUUCAAAACUUUAUUCAUAAAAAUAAAGGAUGCUUCUCAAAGCCCUUAACAUGAUCAACUCAAAUCCCAAAUCAAUUUGAAAUUUCUACUGUUCAAUCAAGAGACAUAGAAGGAUAAAAUUUGGAGUAGUAGGGUUGAGGUUUGAGCCUUAGGAAAUUUUGGAGAAAAAUGAGCUAUUGAAUGCUCUUAAUGGACUUUUUUAUCCAUGGCCAAAUUGGAUGAAACCAAUUUCAUUUGAAAGAGGACUUUCAAAGAUUUCUGUUGAUAUAUAGUAUCUCACCCAGAUCAUUCUGUACAAGGAGUUAUGAUCAUUUGAAGUUGACCCUAAAAUUCGCCUGGCCUUAGUAUUUUUUUCCUGCACAUUUACUGUUCAACACUAUUUAUGGUUAGAUCGGAAUGAUCAUAACUCAUUGCUCGAGUGUCCAUUUUGGAUGAUCCACAUAUCAUUGGAAAACUUAUUCAAUCCUCUACGCGAUGACGUGUUGCAUAUACAGAAAUUCCACUCAGAAAAAUUAUUAAUCACGAUAAGGAACAAAAUUCAACAUAUUUUAGUCUGAGAUCUUAACGAAAAACUUUUUCGGGGCAUCACAGAGUCAUGAUAAUUAAAUUCAUUUUGAUAUGUUGUUUUCAUCUAGAUUCCUCACCGUUUUACCUAUGAUAAGUAACCAAUCCCUUCUCUUAUAUUUUUCAAUCGUGUAUCUUGAUGGGUUGAGCUUUUAGUGAAGCUGAUACCACCACCUGAGCUACAUCAAUUAAUUAAUAAGUUAAUGGAUCUUUUGAUUAUUAAUCCUCAUCUUCAUACAGGUUAAAAGGUUAAUUUUUAAAUCAGAUACUUAUGCUAGAUCUGGUGCUACUAUUAUUUGAAUACCCAGCAGUCAACAUCCCAAAAUUCUCACGAGAUGUAGGUGGAAUUUUCUAUGGAUAUCACUCCCAAUAAUAGGUAUUACAAUUCUAGCUUCUUUUUUGUCUAAAAAAACGUUCCUUAAAUUUGCACCUUUAUUUUUUUUUUCUAAGAAUAUUCAAUGUAUGUUUGAUCUUAAUCCUGUGUUAUUCUAAGAUUCUUGUGACUAUCCUUUAGAGUGGUACCUUUACCUCUUUUCUUCCUUUAUAAGAAUCUCGAUGGUUAUUAUUUCUGCUCCUUGUUGAUCCUCCUAAUGUCAGGAAUACCAAACUUUUUAUUACUUGUCUUGCUUUAAUCAUUACUUGUGCAAAGUUGUUGAACUCAAAAUUACCUGCAAAAAAGAAAAACUAGGUUAACAAAAAAAUUAGCUGGAGUGUUACCUUUCCUAAGGAAAUGUACCACUCUAACUGUUAGUGAUUCUAUCAGACAUCCAAUGGAGUUGACCACCAUUGUGUCAUACAUGACACUUCCUGUUCACCCUUAAGAAUUUGAAACAUACUAUAAUAAUCAAUUUCUAAAAUAACCUGCCUUAGGUUAUUGUUGAACGGUAUUGUAAGCAAUCCUGUAUAACUAAUGCCUUAACCAUAAAACUGCCUGUACUUUAUUCUACACCCUUUUCCAACAAUUAGAUCUCCCAGAUUAUCUCUUAGUAAGCAGUGGAUCUUGGACCAGGGUUCCCUUUUGAGGCACCAUCUGUGUUGCCUUUAACCCUGCUAAUUUCUGGCUGUAGCUACCUAAUCACUUUAAAAGAGUAGGAAUCUCUGCAACUCUGCAAAAUAUUAAUAAUUUCAGCCCAAUGUUUUUCUUGUAAAUCCAUGUGAAAUUUGAGCUUGAUAAAAUGGAUGAUAGAGUUAGUAAUAUCCCAUGUAAUCUUCCUUAGUAAUCUCCCAAGUAAUAUUCCUGUCAUUAUAUCUACCGUUAUGCAAUAAAGUAUUACUCCCUUUUCAUAAAAACCAAAAAAUAAUCAAAGGAACAACAUUAAACACUGUCUGAAGUUUGUGAUUCCCAUCCCCUUUCCUCCAUAGCCUAACACUCUGCUUCAAAUUUAAUCUCUGCUCCACAAUACCAGCUGCAUUAUAGAAAUUAUUCCACACCCUUUCUGCUAUUUCUCCUUUAAGGAAAAGAUGCUGGAUAGUUUUUGUUUAUGGAUCUUUAUAACAACCAAACGUAUUAUCAAUCUCUGUAUUCCAUGGUGCGUGACUGCUGCAACUAGAAUAAUUGACUUCUAUAUUCUCCAUGUCAAAAAGAAAAAUUUAAAAGGCACUCCUUUAAUCCAAAUAGCCUUUAAAUCUUUCUUCUCAUCUUCUUUAUUUCUAAAUAGUUCCCAGGCACUUUUUGUAGUGAAAAUACCCUUACUAUUUCUAGUACACCAAGGUUUAUCUAUCUCCUCUUUGUAGAAUAAAAACCUAUAGAAUCCCUGACCUACUGUACAAUAUCUUCUGGAAUCUCAUUCUUUAUAAGUUCAUAGUUCCAUCUAUUCUUCCUUAUAAAUACAUCAAUGUCUUUUAAGAGGUAAAAUGUAGAAAUAUUAUACUGCUGUUUAAAUAAAGGACCAAAUUUGGUCCAAUUGUUAAACCAAAUUAUGGAUUUACCACUCUUAGGUUCCCACCACAAAAAAUGUUCCACCUUGUCCCGAUCAUUCAACAUGGAAUUAUAGACUUGUGAUCCUCCUCUCUAGUUCAUCAAAGUAGCCAAUUGUUUUUUACAAUAUUUAUUCACAGAAAGUCUAUCCACAGAUUUCUUUGAGUCUUGAAUCUCCACAAGAGCUUACCAUUUAAGGCAAAAGACAUAUAUUUCAAAGCUCUAAAACCCAAACCUCCUUCCUAUUUGGAUAAACAAACCUUGUCCUAGGUAGUUUAAUGCUUUCCCCUUCCUGACUCCUUAUUAUUCUAAAAGAAUUUAGCAAAGAUCUAAUGCAGAUCUUUGAUAACACUUUUAGAGGAACUAGAAGAAAGAAUAUUAACUGUGAUGCUUUAAAGAACACUUUUAAUGAGAAACUCCUUCCCUCAUAUUAUAAUAGCCUACCUUUCCAUGCUUGGACUUUACUCUGCACCUUUUCUAUUAAUUCUGCAUAAUGUUCUUUGUUCUUAUUUGAAUGAGAUAGAGGACAACCAAGAUAUUUAAUUAUAAAUUUGCCUUUUCUCAUACUUGUAAUCUGCUCCACAGCCUGAACUUUACCUAUUGAUACUUUCUGAUGCAUAUAAAGGAAGCUUUUAUUCAUAUUCACCUUGCCUUCCAUAACCAAUAAACCAAAGAUCAUCAAACAAGUUCUUUAAAGCUCUGGUCAUAAUUUUUGAUGACAAAAUAAACAAAGUGGGAGAUAAAAAGUCUCUUUGUUUCACCCCUCUAGUUAAAUGAAAGAAACUACUGGUUGACUAUUCAAUAAUAUGGAAUAAUAAUUAUUAGAUAUUAAUCUCCAAAUUACAUAACAACCUUAUCAGAAAAUCCCAUCUCCCUCACCACUUUUAUCAGAAAGAACCAAGAGAUAGGUUACAAGUUAUUUAUCUAUUAGAUUUUAGUAUCUCAAUUUACAUACUACUUUAGUACUUGCUUUAUACAUGGUCAUGCAUUCUCAGUCUUUUUAAUUUUCGUGCAUUAUUACUCAGUUCCUCAUGCUAUGCAUUUAGUCAAAUAUUACUCAUGAGCAUGAACCCAUGCAUAUUAGCCUAAUAUCAUUUAGCAUACCUGUACAUUCAAAAGCACUAACCCCAUACUUGUUUUCUUGUGCUAUGAUGUCUUAUAUCAUAGGUUCAAAUGCUCAAAUUCCCUAUCGUACUUAGACUUUCUAGUGCAUCAGCAACAACAGCCGUGGUGAGCCCUCUUCUUUUAAGGAUGAGCUACCUUCUAUUCAGUUAUGUUAGUAGUUCAGUCAUUUGGUCUAUCGGAGUUAGUUGUGGGUUUGUCGAUAAACUCUAUAAUCAGACAGUUUAGAGGCUUUCAGACUAUUACAGACAUUCUACUCAAUUUUUAGUUGUUUUAUAAGUAUGUUUCCAGACGUUUUAAACCAUAUUUUAGUAUUAUUUUCAGUUAUUAAAACGUUAUGGCAUUUCGUUAAAAAUUUGCAUAUAUUGUUUAUCAGUUUUAUUCAGUACUCACAUUAGGUACUAGCUCAUGGGUUAGCUUAUGGUCUCAUGGGACCAUAAGCAGCAUGUGGCACCCAGGGUGUACUCCUGAGGCAUUACAUGGAUCUAAACAACCAGUGUUAGUACCCGUGGCAAGUUACUAAUACCCUUCUAACUAUGACUAUAACUUAGACCUCGAUAUGCUCAGACUGAGGCAUAUUGGUUAAAUUUUAGCUCCGAUAGUUUCAAUUUAAUAUUUAGAUUAUAUCAUCUUGGUUUGCAUGACCAAGUGUUCAAUUUAUCAAUUAUUCAGUUAUCCAGUUUUGUAGAUUAUUUUAGCGCAUGCUUUACAUGGUCAUGCAUUUAUUUUAUAAGUUCCUCAUUAAUGCACAGUACCUAUAUGUAUUACAGUUGGUCCUUAUCUCACAUAUGAGUAUAUUUAAAGUAUUGAUCGCAUACUCUCUUUUGCACUAUAUUAAUUUCAAAAUAUAGGUGCUGAUGCUCAGUUCCCAUAUCACACGUAGUUCAUUCCUGUAUCACUUAGCUGUAGCUUUGGUUACUCCUCAUUAGUCAAGGACUAUUUAUAUUAUUUAUCAUUUUUUCUGGUACUUUAUUUCAUUUUAUUUCAGUAGUCAGAGUUUGUUAGGGUCCUGUCCAUACAACUCCUCAUAUUUAAAGGUUUUCAAACAGUUAGAAAGUUAACAUGUUUUUAAUAAGGACUAUUCAGCACCUUUAUUAUUGUUUUAACAUUCAGAUAUUUUCAUGAAUUUUUUUGGAUGAGGUGGUGAGAGGCGUGCCUAGUUCUGACAAAAUUGUUGUAGUAGAAGAUUUAAAUAGACAUAUCGGGGUGUUAUUGAGAGGCUAUGGUGAUAUGGAUGGUGGUUAUGAUUUUAGGGAUGGGAAUAAUGAAGGAGUUGCCCUGUUGAAUCUUGUGAGGUCCUUUGGGAUGGUGGUAGUGAAUUCAAGCUUUCCAAAAAGGAGGAUCACCUGAUCACCUUCUGAAGUGCAAUAGCCAAGACCCAGGUUGACUUUCUGCUACUUAGGAAGGGGGAUGAGGUGCUGUGUAAGGAUUUUAAGGUCAUUUCAAGUGAGAAACUUUUGACGCAGCAUAGGCUUCUGGUGAUGGACCUGGGUUUAAAGAAGAAUAAGAAGAGAAGGGGUGGGGAGGGCUGGCCUAGAAUAAAGUAGAGGGGGCUUAACACCGGUGAGUGCACUAGAGAUAGAGGAGAAGGUGGUGGAAUUGAGGGUAUGGGACUGUAGGGGGGACGUGGAUGGUAUGUGGUAUAGGGCGACCAUGUGCAUCAAGAAGACUUCUAGAGAGGUAUUGGGUGUCUCGAAGGGCCCGGCUGGUCAGUGUCGGGGGGACUGGUGGUGGAAUAAGGAUGUAUAGAAGAAAAUAGAUGCUAAAAAUGAGGCGUAUGCUAAGUUGGUUGAGAGUAAGAAUGAAGAGGAUAACCGGGUAAAUAGGUAGGAGUAUAAGUUAGUUAGGAGAGAGGUCAAGUUAGUAGUUACGGCUACUAAGACGAUAAUAUUUAAGAGCUUGUAUGCGGGAUUAGAGAAGAAAGACAGGGAAAAAAGGUUGUAUAAGUUUGCUAAGGCUAGGAAGAGGAAGAGUCAUGACCUUGAUCAAGUAAAGUAUAUUAAGGGAGAGGAUGGUAGUGUGCUGGUGGAGGAUGUUCAUAUUAAGAGAAGAUGGUAGUUAGAUUUUCAUAGACUCUUGAAUAAUAAUGGGGACAGAGACAUUGUGUUAGGAGAGAUAGAGCACUCUGUGGGGUGUCAUUAUUUUAGCUAUUAUAGACGUUUUAAGGUAGAGGAAAUAAGCGAGGCUAUUUAUAGGAUGUUAAGGGUUAGGGCGAUGGGGCCUGAUAAGAUUCUUGUGGAUUUUUGGAAGUUUACUGGAAAGGCUAGUUUAAGGUGGUUAACUAAAUUAUUUAACUGCAUCUUUAAGACUACAAAAAUGUUUGAGGCUUGGAGAUGGAGUACCAUGAUUCCCUUAUAUAAGAACAAGGGUGACAUCAAGAGUUGCAACAACUAUAGGGGUAUUAAGUUGUUGAGUCACACUAUGAAGAUUUGGGAGAGAAUGGUCGAGCGGAGGUUGAGGAGGAUAGUGUCUAUUUUGGAGAAUCAGUUUCGAUUUAUGCAUAGUCGCUCGAUGAAUGAGGCAAUUCACCUAGUGUGGAGAUUGUGGAGCAGUAUAGAGAAAGGAAAAAAGACCUUCACAUGGUGUUUAUCGACUUGGAGAAGGCAUACCAAAAAGUCCCUAAGGAGGUUCUGUGGAGAUGCUUGGAGGUGAGUAGGGUCCUAGUUGGAUACAUCAGAUAGAUUGACAUAUAUGAUGGAGUAAAGAAUCAGGUAAGGACGGUGGAAGGAUAUUCAGAGCAUUUCCCUAACUUAACAAGGUUGCAUCAGGGAUCGACUCUUAUCCCAAUUUUAUUUGUGUUGGUGAUGGAUGUGUUGACGCGGUGUAUUUAAAGAGAGGUGCCUUGGUGUAUUUUUUUUUACAGAUGUAGUAUUGAUUGAUGAGAUAUGGGGAGGUAUAAAUAAUAAAUUAGAGGUUUGGAGACAAGCCCUUGAGUCUGAAGGGUUCAGGUUGAGUAGAAGCAAGACUGAGUAUAUAUAAUACAAUUUUAAUGACUGGAGACAGGAGGAUGAGGUGGUAGUAAGGUUGGCUUCCCACGUUGUUUGUAGGAGGGAUAGUUUUAAAUACCUCGGGUCAAUGAUUCAGGGGAAUGGUGAGAUUGAUAAGGAUAUCUCCCACCAUAUUGGGGCAGAAUGGAUGAAGUAGAGGCUCGCCUCAGGAGUGUUGUGUGAUAAGAAGGUGCCACCUAAAAUUAUACAAAAAUUCUAUAGAGUGGAAGUCCAUCUGGCCAUGCUGUAUGGAUCGGAGUGUUGGCCAGUCAAGAACUCCCAUAUUUAAAAAUUAAAGGUAGUAGAAAUGCGGAUGCGGCAAUGGAUGUGUGGGCUUACUAGGGGUGAUAGGGUUAGGAAUGAGACUAUCUGAGAGAAGGUUAGGGUGGCUCCGGUGGAGGAUAAGAUAUGGAAAGUUCGGCUGAGAUGGUUCGGGCACAUAAUGAGAAGGGACACAGAUGCCUCAGUUCUUAGGUGUGAGACGCUAGCUUAGGAUGAUUUCAGGCAGGGUAGGGGUAGGUAGAAGAAAUAUUAGAGAAAGGUGAUUAGAAGUGACAUAGAUCAAUUACAUCUUUCUAAGGACAUGGCCCUGGAUAGAAAGGUUUGGAGGACGCGAAUUAGGAUAGAAGGUUAGUACAUAUGGGAAGUUCGUAGUUAGAAAUUAGGGGAGCAUUGGGGUAGAGGGGUAUGAGAGUGGGGGGUGCCUUUGGUUCAUUAGGGUAGGGUAUUAAUUUGUGAGUGUCUUAUAUCUAUUGUUACAUCUUGUUGCAUGCUUUUAUUAUGAUUUUGUUUAUUAUUCAUUAUCCUGAGCCGGGGAUCUAUCUAAAGUAGCCUUUCUACUUCUCUGGAGGUAGUGGUAUGGACUACAUAUAUCUUACCCUCCCCAGAUCCCACUAUAAGGGAAUACACUGGGUUUGUUGUUGUUAUAGCCUAUUUUUCUUAUUACACCUUUCACCUUCCCAUUCUUAUUACAACGAACCUAUUUUAGCCCUAGUCCUUCUUGGACAUUGUGCACCUUAACUUAGGUAAAUCGCCUAAGUUAAGGGUGGCUAUCAUAUGGGUGUGUAUGUGAAGUGGUAUGAAGAAAGGUAAAAUAAAAGAAAAUAAGUAGGGAUGGGUGUGGUAGAAAAAGAAAAAUUGUGAAAAAUAGAAAAAUAAAAAUAAAAGAAACCACACACAACCUAAAUGUGCAAUAAACAAUAAAAAGGGAGAAAUACAGGUGGAAUAAAAAUAAAUUGGUUAAUAAGUGGACGCUAGAGUAAGUGUAGUACCAUGGAGGAUUAGUCACUAAAAUGUCCAUAUGUACCAUACUAGUCCCCAAGCUUACAUUACAAGUUGAAUGAUCCUAACCUAACUCUCUGAAAGCUAAGGUAAAGAAAACAAACGCAAGCCUGUGGUAUUUCCUGCGUAUUGGUGGAACUUCUCUUUUGAGUUUGAGUGUUUCUUGAUCAUCCCCUCAUUGACAUUCAUGAUUUCAUAUGAGUGAGCAAGACUUCUUUGUUGUGAGAGCACAUGGGCCGUAUUUCUAGCUGCUUACUUGUUUGGGUAUAUGCAUGGUUGUUUGUUAGUAAUGUAAUGUCAUAUCAUGAUUCCCUCGUGUCAUAUUGGAAUGCAUCAUGUAUACACACAACUGGUUUUGACAUGUUUAAAUAGGAUGGGGUAACGUUUUAAGCUUGAAGUUGAUGAUUGACUCUUAUAGAUAGGUUAGGUUUCUCCUAGCUAAACAUAAUUGUUUUGUUGUAUUGUGUUUCCUGCGGAUAUCCAAACAUUCUAAGUUGAUGGUGUUGAUGUGUUAUGGUCUCAUAACACUUUUGACACUAAAACAAUUAAAAUAUGAGAGUUACUUAGGUCUUUUUGUUAGGUGUGAUGUGUUUUGUGUUGUGUUUUGCGGGAAAUCAGUUAUGGAACUAUUCAAAAGAAAAUGACUAAAAAUUAAAGUUUUUGACCACUUAAGUGGGCACCUACGGACCGUAUGUACUACCUAUGGGGCGUAGGGAGAUUUUUAUUUUAGUUUACUUAUUUAUAUGGCAUCGUGGAAUGAACAUGAUCUUAGUGGUUGAAAAUCUUAUCUUGAUGAUCCAUAUCCAUAUUGUGAUCAACCUUACUUUUGGAAAGAUUGUAGAUAUGCUCCCCGGAGAGAGAUGUGUGCACCAUCUCCAUCCUACCAGGAGUAUGAUUGUUCUCUAUGUGGUGGUCAAGAUGGACAUUGGAGUGAUUUCCUAAAUGCCCCCUCCCCCCAUUGUGCUAACCCAAAUUCUAGUUCUUCUUAUGAUUUUGAUAGGUUUUUUGGUUAAGAAAAGAAAGAACGAAGAACCGAAAAGAGUGGUAUUGAAGCUAUGCUUCAACUAAUGUUGGAUCUUAUGGACACAACGAAUGAUAUCAUAUGUGAUACAGUUAAGACAUUAGGGCGUUUAACAAGGAAAGAGAAAUGGUAGGGGAGAUGGAUAUCGAGGUCAAUCAUCCAAAGCACUCUCUACAUUAUGUUUAGAUGAUAUCUUAUCUGUGAAAUCAUUUAGACUAAUCGAAGAGUGUGAAUAUGAGGAGCAAGAGUCCUAUACUGAUGAUAAGCUUGACGUUGAUCAAACCUUGGAGAUUUCCUAACCAACCGAACCAACCAUGAGGGAUGAUGCCAAGAUUGGGAAAAUGGUGCAAGAGGCAAAAGAAGAAAUUAAGCACAAUCCUUGUGAAGACUCUAGUCCAUUUCGGGGUAAAGAUAAUAAUAGGGAUGCUGCUACGGAAGUAAGAGUUAGUCCUUAUUCAAGCCACUUUUCAACAUUAUGCAUGGUGGAUGUGAUGAAAGUCGAAUCACCCAAGCAAAUGAUGAAUAUUGAAAAUGAGGAGAAAAAUUCUUACAUUUUGGAGUUUAUCUUUCCAAAAGGGUAUACCACAACCCCAAUUGUAAAAGCCAAGAAGCCUAAAGAUCGAUGUCCAUUUAGUGGCUUAUUAAGAUCCUCACUGCUUCCCAAUGAGCCCACAUGAAAGUUUGAUGCAAAAUUGGGCAAGCGAUUCAAGUCUUUGAAGUAGUGUGAUAGAACAUUCCUUAUCAUGCCCUCAUAUUUUCCCAAUGGACCUAAAAGAUGUAAAGAUUAAAAGAUGGGCUAAUAAUUCAAAUCACCAAAGUGGAGGGAUAAAGGAUGACUAAAUGUUGUUGUGCCGCAACACUAAAUUAGGCGCUUCUUGGAAGGCAACCCAAGGUAUUUUGUUGUUUGUAUUUGUAUUACGUGAUUGACAUCAGAUCUUCGCACUCAUGGUGCCACAAGUAUGUUUAUAACUCUCUCAUUUUGGUUUAACGCAUUGGGGACAUUGCAUAAUUUUAAGUUGAGGGUAGAGCUACUUCUGGGUGUUGAUGUCCUCUUGGGGUUUUGUUGUCGUGCCUCUUUUCCCCGAAGUCUUGUUCCUAGUAAAGUCGGCAUGUUUAGGCGUAUUAUGUUUGUCUUGUGAUGUGUAGUGGUUAACUGGGGGAAAAAUAAGUAUCUAGGACAAUUGACAUAUUUUUGUUGAUUUUUCUUGGAAUGAUAAAUACCUCUCCAAUUGUCUACCUGGUAAUUGUGUGAUGUGCAUCUAUAUAUGACUAUUGUGAAUCUUUGUAUGGAAUUAGUACUAGGGACAUGAUAAUCACUGCUAACAACUGCAUAAACCGAAUGGAUAGUAGUGUGUGAUGUACCUUUAUGCUAUAUGUAUGUAAGAUACUACCUAGUUCCCGUUGUGUGUUAAAUCCAGAACUUGCUCAAUUGGUCUUGCCUUGGUUGUAGGAUAAUAGUUAGGAAAGGAUCAUAGGCCGUUGUUGAUAUUAGUCCACUUUUAGCUUAAAUGACCUUCCAUGUGUGAAUAAUAUCCCUUGAUCCUGAUUUUGAUCCUGAAUGCCUAUUCUUUUUAUUAUACUUAUCACCUUUCCAUUUGUAUCACAAUGAACCUAUUUUGUCCCUGAUCCUUCUUGGAUAUUGUGCACUUUGACUUAGGCAGAUAGCUAAGUUGAGGGUGGCUAUCAUAGGGGUGCGUGAUGUAAAAUGAGUAUGAAGAAGGGUAAUAAAAAUAUAUAUAUAUAUAUACAAAGCUGGGUAUGGUAGAAAAAGAAUGUGAAAAGAAAAGUUGUGGAAAAGAAAAAUGAUUGAUUAAAUGACCACACCCAUCCUAAAUUUUCUUAAUCAAGAAAGGGAGAAAUAAGGUUAAGGUUGAUAAGUGAGACCCCCCCCCCCCCAAAGAAUAUAGUGUAGUGCCAAGGAGUCUUAGUUACUUUAAAUAUCCUUGCGUAUCAUACCAUCCCUAAGCCUACAUUACAAACUGAAGAAAAGUCCUAUAGUGAUCCUAACUUAACUAUCUAAAAGCUUCGGUAAUGAAAAUAAGGGCAAGCUUAUGGUAUUUGACAUAUAUUGACUGGAACUUCUUACUGAGAGUGAGUGUCUCUUGACCAUCCCUGCAUUUACAUGCUUGAUUUUAUAUAUGGAUGAGGAGGGACUUCUCUGUUGUAAGGGCACAUUGUUUGCAUUGCUAGUUUCCUAUUUGUUGGGUAGUGUAAUUUAUAUAUAGGCAUGGUUAUUGUUGCUAAGUUGAUGCCAUAUCUUGAUCCUUUCUGUCACAUUAUUGGUCUUUAUGGAUAUACACAGAUGGGUUUAAAGUGAUUAAAAAUGGAGAGGGUAAUGUGUUUUGAACUAAAAUUGAUGAUCAAUAUUCAUAGGUAUCUUAUGUGUCUCUUGGUUAUGCAUCGUAAUGUUGUGUUUUAGUUGCUUGAGGACAAGCAAUUGUUUUAAGUUGAGGGUGUUGAUGUGUGAGCAGAUGCUAACACAUUCAAGGCUUUUAACUAAGAAUAAUUGCAAAGUCUUAAGCAACUUUUAUCGUUUUUGAUUGUUUUAUAUUUGAUUUUGUAGUAGAAGCUAAUAUGAUAUAGAACCAACAAGAAUGAAAGCAAAGAAGUUGAAGUCUGAAGAAAAGUGUGGCUGACGACAUUUGUGAUAAGUCAUCAUCCCCGUGAUAAGCUAUCAGCUUCAUCGUCAGCAAAUAGACAGAGAAUUGGCUUAAGUUGAAAGCUAUGAUGACAAUUUGUGAUAGGUUGUCAAGAGUUUGAUAAGCUGUCAAGAAUGUCGUCAGCCUAAGGCAGCACAAGAGAACUGAAGCAGAGCCUUGAUGACAUUUUGUGAUAGUUCGUCAAGGAGCUGAUAAGUCAUCAAGAUUGCCGUCAGCCUUAAGCAGGAAGAUCCAAAACUAAAGAAGGAGUUGACGACAUUUGUGAUAAGUCGUGAGCCUCCUGAUAGGCUAUCACAAAUGUCGUCACCUAAUCCGAGGAUUUUUAAAAUUUUAUUAUUUUGUUUCCUUAUUUAGGGUGAACUAUUUAAAGCCUUGUUUGGGGUUUUCUUGGAGAGGUUCCGAACCUUGAGUUUUAAGACACGAUACUUUGAUAUUUUCUCUCUCUAACUUCUUGGCUUGAAAAAACAAUUACUUUGAAGAGAAUUUAAUCAUUAUUUUGGGAUUUUCUGUUGUGAUCUAAUCUGAGAUUCACUAGUUAUUAUUCAUCUUGUGGCAAGUUUGUCUUUCAAAACAUGAAUUUAUCUAGUUGCUUCGAUUGUUACAUUAUGCAUGGCUAAAUUCCUUUAACCUGAAUUAUGGGAUGUAGGGUUAGGUCUUGAUAAGGUCAUGGGUGUUCAGGAUUCGAAAGGUGGUAGGAUUUCUUGAUAAUUCUGAUGUUUUAAUUAUUGUCUGUUGGUUGCAAACAAUAGAUAACACCUACUUUGAUUUGCAUGAGAAAGAAAUCAAAUAUAGUGGGAAGUGAAUUAUCAACAGGGACUUGAAAAUACUAAACUUUCAUUUAGUAAUCAGCGCUGUAGCAAGGUUGGUUAACCUGAGGUAAAAUCUGACAUUGGAUAUAAGUUCCCCAAGUCCGAGAGGAUUAGGUAAUUCAAUGCUUAAGUAGGUCGGCAGACAUUUAAGCAUAACUUCAAUAAAGAUAACUUGCUGUCCUACCUACCGUUAGAGUCUUGAACCACUAGUAGCAUCUGUCAAUUACCAAAAAUCCCUAGUGAACAUAAUUUUGGAUUUUCCAUAAACUCUUGAUUACAAACUGAAACUAAGGUGACCAAAAAUUAUUUGCUAAUCUCCAAAACCCCUAUUUUAUCUUUUAGUGCCAGUUGUUUGAAUUCAACUUGUAGCUAUAGUUUCAAAUUAGUUUAAUUGCCACUCACAUUGUUCCCUGUGGAUUCGAUCCCGACUCCAAAAGUUGGGUAAAUAUAUUGACGACGACUGUCUUGCACUAAAUUGACGUGUAAGUUCAGUGUUAUCAAAAACCAACUGCUCUUGAUAAAUAAAUUUGAGGUUGGACAAAAUUAGGUACGUCAAACUUUCUUUGCCCAGGGUUACUAGAAUUUGCCCUACCCCAAGGGAGAGGGCAUUUGUUGACACCUAAUUUUCCCUCUACGACUGGUUUUAACUCAGAGUUUCUUCAGUUUUAAAUAAGAUCAAAAUGUUAUUUAUCUAGAUAAUGACUUACUAAAAUAAUUAUUUGAGUUAAAUAUAUCAUUUAUGCGACGAUUAUACAUUUCCAUAUUUAUUUAUGAGAACAUAUAAUUUGUGUUGAUUAAAUAAUUAUUUUAUUCAAAAUCAGCUUUUAAUCGAGAAUUAUUUUGAAAAUUAGCUCAAAUUAGUAAAUCUUGAUUUGAAUAUAAUUUGUUCUUAAAAUAAUCUAUUUGAAAAAUAUAGGUUUGAUUUUAUUAAAUCAAGAAGCUCAAGCUUAAAUAGUUUGUUAAUUUGUUUCAAAAUUUGAUUUAGUUUAGCUAAUUUAUAAAAUUUGAUCCUAAUUGAAAUCAAAUUGACCAUAACUCCAAUUGACUAGUUGAUUUUUAAUGUGGUUAAAAUCUAAAUGUAUUGGAAUGAAUUCUCAAUUUUAAGGUUAUUUAGCAAUUAGCCAAAUUUCUUAAAUGAUUAUUCCUAAUUCUAACCACUUUGAUAACAAAAAAGUUAACCAACCCAGGCCCAAUCCCUUAUAAACACCAAUCCAGCCCAACCUUAUAACUCCCUUGUUCAUCAUAUCAGUGUACAACAAUAAUAGCUAGACAACAUGAAAACAUCAAUGUCAGUAGUGUACAACACCAGCGAAACUAUCUAUUUUCUCUUACUGCUUUUAUUUUUCCCUCUCUUUCUUUCAUCGUGCUAAGCACAAGAUUGUAUGUGAAGCUUCUACAAAAAACUCCAAUAGUUUAUUCUUCUUUUUUCAAGAUUUUUUUUUCUAAUUUGAAUUUCAAAAUUUAUACUAAAAGGGUACGAUUCCAGCUCAUCCUUAUCCUUAUUCAAGAAUUCCCUAUAACAAUACCCAAUUUCUAUAUUCAUAAUCUCAUCCCUAAAGCCCCAAUCUCAUUCCUAUAAAUACCCUACUAUUUCUACAUUUAUGAUAAAAGUCGAAGAGGAAGGAAUUAGCUGAGAACCCUAAUUGAGAAGGGGAUUUUGUAUAAUUCAAAGUUUCUAGACUCGAAUCCAUAUAAGUCUGGUUUUAUCUUUGAAUUUCAGCUAAGAAAUAUGUUGUUUUUUGGUGGUGGCAAGAAUUCCUAUUAAAAUUUGUAGUUCAAUUUGUUUCCCAAAAGAAAGUAAAAACCCUUCCCUUUUUAUUGUGUUUUUUUAACUGAUGUGGUGCAAGUAUGAUUCUUUGAUUCAUUUUUGUUUCUACUAUGAUUAUUUAUCAUGAUUUUCUUUUUAUUGAUUGGGUUUUGCCAUUUGUAAGAUGGAUGUGUUGAUGUGUUUGAUAUCUAGAUUGUUAUAUAAUGGUUAUAUACUUCUUUAGUGAUAUAUGAAUUUUCUAAAAUAUGGAAUCUAUAUGUGUUUGUUGGAAUGAGAUUACUGUUACGAGGUUUUUGCAUUUAAAGAUGAAGCUAUGAUUAUUAGAAAUGGGAGAUGCCGAAUUUUGUUUAGUCCUAUACCUACUUUAAGAAGUGAUCUUGUAAUUUUUGUUAAAUACUAAAGUCCAAGUCCCUUAAAUAUUUUAUUUUUAGUAUUAAAUCUAGUAUUACUUCUUGAAAAAUUUUCCUUUUUGUUGAGUUUUAGUCCGGUACAAAUCCUCUCCAUGAUUAAUGAUUUGAUUUACAAAGUGGAGACAACAGAACUCUUUGUUGAAUUAUGAAGUUCAGAUUUAGAUUUUAGAUCUGUUUACACGAUGGUGUUCGGCCUGAUGUAAGAAUUUCAACUCUAAUCCUUGGUGCAUUCUGUUCACAGUAUCUCUCUUUGGAAUGUAUUUACUGAAUGUUUUAUUGUAGUUAAGUUCUUGAUAAAAAUAUAAUGUGACUAUGCCUAUGAGGAUUUACUAGUUGUGUUCUCUUUCAGAUAGUUUUCUUCUCGAAAUUUGUCCUUUUUUGGUCUAUAUGAUAGUAAGAUUAAAACAUACAUGAUAAUUCAAAUGAAUUAAAGGUCUUAUUGUUAAGCGUAGCUUGAGAUAUUCAUUAUUUGGUUUCAUACAUAUUUUGAUGCUGCUUUCAUGUGUCAAAUUAGUAGUUUCAUUUGUGUGUUAUUACAAGUAAAUAUGAUUUUCAACCUAAGUUGCUCCCUGGUCCGAUAAGAGAUUAGAUCUUUGCCUUAUCUUUUGAAACAAUUUGUUUCCCAUGUCCGUUUCAAAGCUAAUUUUUAAAUAGCUUAAUUUAUUCAAGCAAAAUCAGCAUCCUUGAAAUUAUUAGCUUUUCUCCUAUCAUUUUUAUUAAGUUUCAUAACAGUACGUUCAUUUCAUAAUUUAGCUACUCAGUGUGUUUUAAUAUCAACUCCCUUUAUCUUAAUUUACUUCAAGUCUAAUUCCAUAUUUGUUUUUUCGUCACUAGUUUGUUAUGUGUUUGAUUGAUUAAGUGUGUUUUAGUGUGAGUAUUAAUUCUUCUCCCCCCUAUUGGGUGAAACCACCCAAGAUGAGUUCAUACGGACUCGACCCUUUUCUUGCAUACCCCUUCGAGUCAAAUCUCAUCCAAAAAGAAGCAAGUUUGCAAGGCCGAAGAAGUAAAUGAUUACUGCAAGAAAAAAGAGUUAGCAAGCUAGCAGUAAACAACGAGAAGCUGUGUUUUGGGUCUAAAAACCAUUUUAUCCUUUAUUUGUUAAAUGAUAUCAUUCAUGUAGUCAUUUUAUCAAUAUAAUACAUCAAAUUUUUAAUUUAAUUCGGAUGAAUACCCAAAAGAAAAUUAUAAAUAACUUAUUUCCUAUAUUGAUUGUAUACUUUCAAGUUAAUAUUUAUGUCUUCAAACAUGUUUCAUUUAGUCCAUAUACGUAAAAUCUGACACUAACUUGAGAAUUAUUCAUAUUCUUUGUUAGUUAGUAGUUAGCUAGGAAUCCAUGUUUGAUAAUUUGGGAUAAUUCUUUUAACUCAUAAAUAGGAAAUUGAAUGAAUUAUUAAAGUUAGAAUUAUUUUGAAACUUUGAUAUUUUUUUUCAUUAUUUGGGAUAAAUUGAAUAGAAUAUUUAGUUAUUAAUCCUACACUUUCAAAUGAGGUUUUUUUUAGCAAUUUAAAGAUUUAUUUAUUUAUUUAUUUUCUAAAAAAUAUUAUAAGAUUUUUCAAAUAACUUAACAAUUUUUCAAAGUUUAGCAAAACAAGUUUAAUCCAUUGCAAAUAAAACUUUAUGGAUCUUCAAAAGUGUCUAACACCUUUUUUCAAAUAUAACUUAAAUUCUUACCUAGAUUCUGGUUUUCAAUAAAAAAUUUUUAUUCAAAAUUCCUUUGCUUCAAUGAUUUUCUUAGUUUCCUAAAAAUUAAGUGGUGACUCCAAAUUAUUUUUCAAAUAAAAUCAAAUAGAAUUUUUUUCCAUGAAGUUAUAAAGUUUUUGACUCUUCGAAAACCUCAUAACAACAGCAUCACAAGCCUCUGCCUCGGUCUUUCUUGGGAAGGCAUAACAGUGAUCUCUAUUAUCGAUAUGAGCAACCUUCUUAGCAAAAUACACAACACCUCACCCUUAUUUACCACUACCUUGGUUUCCACCACAGCCUUCCUAACGAUUAACCCAUCAACGCUAUGGAUGAUCCUUACAAUUACCUCCCACCACCUCUACUAGUAGGAACAAUAACUCUAGUUUGUUUUUACCCCUUAACCCAUCCUGUAUCUAAGGAAAAUCCCUCUUGAACUGCCCCAUAGUACCAUAAGUAAAACAACACUGAUAUAAGAAAGGCAUGUUAGCUGAUGAAUAUGAGCUCCUUGGUUUCUAGCAAAUAAGGGUUACUGAGUGACCUCUGACUAACCCACUAUGGAAUCUAUCAAAUUUGACAGAAUAGGGUAAGCCAAAUAGUCCUGAUAGCUAUGACCCCUAAAUAAGAACCACCAACGGUACUCGUAUUUUAGGAUUUCUUUACCCGAACAUUGGCUUGGACUACCUAUGUGAUUCUUUCUACCUUCAUCAUAUAAUCAUAAACGUUAUCUAAUGUCUUCUCGCAAUAGUCUUCAACACAACUAAAACCUGCAAGUCAGUGUUCAAAGAUUUCACAUAAAGUCGCAUUCUUUUUUAUUCAGUACCAAGAAACUGAGUAGCAUAAUGAUAUAAGGUAUGAAACUCGGCCUCAUAGGAUGCAAUAUACAUAUUACCCUAUCCAAGGGCCAAAAACCCAUCCUUCUUAUAAUCACGAAUAGUAUGGGGUACAUACCUCUUCACAAAUAGAGUAUAGGACUAAGUGAUUUCAAUAGAGGUAAAGUUGAGACUGACAUUCCACAUAAACCCUCAUCACUGCUUUGAAUCACCUUGCAGUUGGAAGAAACAAACUCAAUACAAUGCUGCUACAUAAUACCUAUUCAAAUAGUCUCUUAUGACCAUCAGUAAUAAACUCAAACACAUCUUCAAUCUCAGAACCAAGUAAAGUAGGAGGUUUCAUUUUUAGAAACUUAUUUAUCAUGUCAUGUUUAGUCUUAGUCAUAAUAGGACCUAACAUUGUGUGAGGGAAAAUCCCAGUCUCCAAGGCCUCACCCACUUAGGAGCAAUAACAGUAGUCGGCUAAGCACCUAGAAAUUGAUAAGAAGGCAUAAUUUGAGUGUCUCUAAUACUACCCAAGCUACUCAGGAAAUAAAGCACUAGCUAAAUUAUCUCAAAAAACACCAGAGGAAAAUCUAUAUCCCUUGUUGCUGCUACCUCUUUCUUCUUCAUAACAUCUUCAUUCACAAACUUCUUAAAUUGAUCCUGGAAUGGGGGAGCUGUCUCAUAUAUCUGAUAGGCCAGAUUAGCCGCCGCUUGAGCUCCACCCCUGGUAGGUGUUACUAUACCUCUUCCUAUUUCCCUACCUCUUUCUCUUCUUCAAACAACAGGUUCUGCACCUAGAGUUUUCGAUUUAAAGGAUGCUGAUCUAACUCGGUUAGCUCUAGUGUUUACCAUCUAUGGACAAAUAAAUUAAGGGAUUUAAUUAUUAAUUUGGUAUCAAGUUAUAGCACAAAAUAAAAUAGAAUGUGAUAGUAUUCUAAAAUUUUAUAGACCCUCAAAGAAAAAGUACAAACAUCUCUAUACCAUUGCACAAGACUCUACUAGACCUAUUUAGUACAAUGAAAUCAACGAACCUAGGGAUAUAAUACAGAUUUUUCACAACACAAACCUUUUUUUGGUUUAAUUUUAUAUUUUAUUAAUAAUCAGCACUUGAUGGACCAACCCAUCAUACAACAAAAAAUCAGCCUAGCCCUAUUCACAUAACUCGGCCCAGCCCAGAUCCAUUUUAUUAACAUAUACAAAGAGUGGGGUUUCUAAAAACAAACUAGUUUCUUAAUCUUUAAAUUGUGUCUGACUCCUUCCACCAUGGUGCUCCCUUUCUCUAAUCUGAGGUUCAUCCUGUUGAUACUUUAGGUGAUUAAUACUGUGCCC